UCCAGGCGCAGGCGCAAAGAAUAUUGCGAGGUGCAGUCUAAUGGAUAGGACUGAGGCUCGACUGAAAGGAGAGAAGGCGCAAUGAAAUAUGCGAGGUCCAUAUUUCGACUGAGGAACUGAAACUUCCGCGUAGUGCUUCCCUUGUUCAUUGAUAGUAAUCCUGAAGUUUCUUCUUGGCAUCAAAAUAGAUCAAUGAAAGAGGACUAAAAAUAAGACGAAAGUACUUAUGACGGCUUUCCUUCCAACAAAUCUUCGUUCUUAGUUAUUUGAUUCCACUUUCAACUUUCUGGGAGUUGUCUUCUCCUAGGCUUUCUUCUUUCUGGCAGUCUUCUGCCUUGCCGUAGGGAGUAGGUUCAGGAGAACCAUAACCAUAAAUCAGAGAGACGGAGCAUCAAUCACGCAUAUUCUUUGCACCUCUUCCUUUAAGCUAUAUUUUUUAGGCUCCGGAGGCUCAAAGACAGGGAUAUUGUUGAAUACUAUUGGUUCGAGUCGCAGAGAGCAAAGAAUUUUCUCUUAAUGGAACUUAGCGCGAGUUAAUAUGGAUAGGACUGAGGUCUUAAGACUCCUAACUAUUAAUGGAAAGGACCCACGGAGCGGUGCAAAGAAUAUAUUAGAAGGGCAGACAGGUCCGGAGGACCUGUCUGUCCUUCGUCUUAAUACUCCUAACGUCGAAUAAGAAGCUGGAGGCUGGGUCCAGGUGCAAAGAAUAUUGUGUCCAUUAGAUCCAUUGAAUUAGGCGAAGGAUUUUAUCAAGCUUAGCUUUCUGGAUUCUUCGGCGGAGUGGGGCUUUCUCUAGUAGGUCUGGAGGCUCAAAGAAUGAUCGAAGGCUCCGGACCAUAAAGAAGAGAGUCGGAGGACUUCCAUUGACUUUUUCUUCCUUUCACUUCUAACUUCAAACCUUUCAUAUUCAACCUUGAAAAUAAAGGAGGGAGCGGACUAGAGGCCAUAAGUUUGAGUUCCUCAGAUGUAUAAAAACAAGUCCUCCGCGACGACCUAUCCACUGAAAGUAGCUACGUAGUCUUGUCUCCUUCCCCGCGUAGUGGGCAUUGACUUCUUCAUUGAUUUUCUUCUAUCUCCCACGUAGCGGUUGAAUAUGAAAGGAAGCCCACAGAGCUGAAGAUGGAGCGGGAUAAUAAAGAAGAAAGCUCAAAAGGAGGGAGCGGACCUCAAUGAACAAAGGACUCGUUUUCAUCCUUAUGGAAGAAAAAUCUCUUUUUUUUAUCUAAAAGACGUAGAAGGAGGCUCAAUGUCUAAUCUUUCUCUCAAAUCAAUAUCCCCCAGUGCAAAUAUUCCAGCAAUAUUCUCAAUAUGAAAAGAGCCUUUCUUCUUUUCUUAGAUAAAUGCGCUUCGUAGAUUAUGCUGAAGGAGGAGUGGGCCAUGAUCUUUGCUCCUUAAUUUCCCUAAUGGAUAGUCAUCUGGACCUUUCUUUUUAGUUCUUUGCGCUCGUCAACGCAUAUUUCAUUGCGCCUUCGCCUUCAAUGAAAUCCAUAAAUAAAUAAGGGUAGAUUUCAGACUCAAGAGGAGGGUUCCUUAUCAAUAUCAAUGAGACGGAUAGGCUUUCUUUUACAUUCCACAGGUCCGAAGGACUAUCCAUAUUAACAUGUCUGUCCUUCGCCUAACUAGUUCAUAUAGACCUUUGUUUUUCUUCCGCAGUCACUAAUAUGGAUAGUCCGGAGGACCUCCUUCAGCAUAAUCUAUGAAUGAUCGGAGCAAAGAAUAUUGCGGAAAAGAAGAAAGGAGUGCAAGCGAAAAAUAAUGGAUUGAAUAGUCCUUCGGACGACUACCGCACUUGGGGAUAUUGUUGAGAAAGAAUAUUGAAAAAGAAUGAUCGAAGAAUAUUGAAAAAGGACGGAGGAUAGGCUUUCUUUGAACAAUGUGGAUGUAUCAAAGAUUCCACAGGUUAAUAUGGUAGAUUUCAGACUAGUCCUUCACCUUGGAUCUGGGGACUAUUCUCUGUUCUAAUAGACAGAGGAGAGGUUCAAAGAAUAUUGAGAAUACUCGUGCAAGCGCAAUCAAUGAACAAGGUGAAAAGAACAAAAAAAAAAGGCGGUCGAUGAUCAGGAAGAAAAAGUCAAAAGUCUAUCCCAUCUUCUUCGUUAGGCGCAAAGAAGAAAAAUAAGGUGCAAAGAUCUAUGGCCCAAUUAUAAGGGGUCCAGAUGCACCAUAAGACUGGUCCGAAGGACUAUCCAUAUUAACCGGAGUCUUCAACAAGAUUUCCAACCCUGAAUAUUAAGCUACUGAGGCCCAAUAUUGCGAAGGAAGAACUGCGCCAUAAGACAGGUCCGAAGGACUAUCCAUUAGGGAAUGAGACGGAGGUAAGUUUGGUUUUUUGGAAAACUUGUUGGCGCGAUUAGUGCGUUUUUUUUGGAAAGUAACAAUUCUCUUCAUUUGUUUUCAGAAAACUUGUUGGUCCACGGAUUAGUGCGUUCUGCGCCGCCUGGUGUCUGCAAACAUAUUUUUCCAAAGUGUGUUUACCUUUGGUUAUAUGCUCCGAUUACCCCCAGUUUAUCUCAUCUUUAGUUUGCAUAACUAGUUUAGCUGUUUGCUUUUCAUUAUAGGUCAUAAAGCUUGGGUGUGACGUUUCAGCAUUUUCAUAUGCAAGCCUGCCAGAGAGGAAAAUGUUCAAAAUGUACUAUAGGGGAGGCAUACCAGUUGAAUCCCCGCCCAAGCAUUAGUUGUACUCUUUGCAAGCAACCCUUUUUCCUUGCAAUUGGCAGUCUUUAAUGCUUAUUGUAACGUCUAUUUCAAUGUAUUUCUUUCUUUCCCGUGUUUUAUAAAUAAAAUGUCCCUAAAACGCAAACGAAGGUUACGACAUACAUCGACGUUACCCACAACUCUUGGAUAUUGAUCGACUGACUUGUUCAUCGAGUUAGAACAAGUGCCGCACAAUCGUCCGUCUCGAGGUUGAAACGCUACGAUUGUGACAAGUGGUAUCAGAGCCAAAGUUGGUUGAGUGACAGUUUUGACAAAAAUAAAAUGUCGACUGCAAAACGAGCGAGCAAGACCCAUGAAGAACGGUUGGUGGAGAUCGAAGUGCAGAUGCUCCACCUGAUGGAAGUUCCUGAUUCCAUCCGGUUCUUGGAAUAGCGGCUUGAGGAUAUUGCCAAGAAAGCUGAUGGCAUUGAAGCCGUGUCCGGUCACCUUGACGGACUACCCAUCCAAGAGUUACUGACUAGAGUCGACACUCUAGAGUCCCGAGUUAUGAGAACGGGAAAUGUCACCUACGAGCGUGGGGACAGUUCAUCGGGCUCUGUUGCCCAGAUGGAAGAAAGAGUUAUGGAGCUUGAUAACUCGCAAAAGAACAUGUUGGAGAUGAUGAGCGGCAUGACAAAGGAUUUUCGAGCAACGCUGGAGGAGCCAUUCUUGUGGGCAGAAUCAAGAUUCCUAAGCCCAAGCCCUUCUGUGGGGCGAGAGAUGCCAAGGCGUUGGAAAACUUUAUCUUUGAUGUCGAGCAGUAUUUCAAAGCCUCGAACACAAUUACUGAAGAGGCCAAGGUGACGUUGGCAACCAUGCAUUUGUCAGAAGAUGCGAAGUUAUGGUGGAGGUCCCGAUACAUGGACAUUCAAGAAGGGCAUUGCACAAUCGACACGUGGGAUGCCCUAAAAGGAGAACUCUGUUCGCAAUUUUCCCUGAGAAUGUCGAAAUUCUGGCCCGACAGAAGCUGCAUGAAUUGAAGCACACGGGGAACAUUCAGGACUACGUGAAACAGAUUGUGGGGGUAAUGUUGGAUACACGCGACAUGAUCGAAAAAGAUAAAAUAUUCAGCUUUGUUGAAGGGUUGAAGCCAUGGGCAAGGACUAAGCUAUACGAGCAGAAAGUCCAAGACCUCGUGUCAGCCUAUGCAACAGCUGAACGUUUGUUUGAUCUGUCUAAUGACGUUCAAGAGACAAGACAUCAUUGAAGCUCUUCACCUGGAAGAGACAGAAACAGCCGACUGAAUUCUCCCGAAGCUGUCAGUAGAAAUAAAAGUCCUGGUAGAGACCGCAAGCCCUUCCAGUCAAAUACGGGGAACACCAGGCAAAGGCCCACUAGUCAAAGGACCUCCCACACUCCUAUCAGUUGCUACAUUUGUAACAGGCCACAUCGGACAAGGGAAUGUCCGGAUAAAGCGGCCUUCUACGCCUUCCAGGCCUCUCUGGCUACAGACUUAGGUGACAAGUUGGGUCAACCAGAGAAUGAAGGUGGGUAGGUGGAGGAAGUCCAAAACGUUAGAGUAGGGGCCAUAAGACUUUGUCGUUCCUUCAGAAGAAAGCGGGGGAGACAAGUGGUCGUACAAAAGGGGGCCUAAUAUAUGUGGACACCUGGAUCAACCGAAGGCAUGCAAAGAGCACUAUGGUUGACUCCAGUGCAACCCAUAAUUUUAUAACGGUGGCGGAAGCCAGACGAUUGAACCUUCACUAGAAGAAGGAUACAGAAAAGAUGAAGGCCGUAAAUUCUACAGCUUUACCCGUCGUCGGAGUAGUGAAACGAGCGGUGAUACAGUUGGAAAGAUGGAACGGCCUUGUUGACUUUGUGGUUGUGGGCAUGGAUGACUUUGAUGUAGUUCUCGGAAUGGAAUUCCUUCUCGAACAUCAAGUGAUCAUGAUGCCUGCACCAAAUGUCGGUGAUCACGGGAUCUACCCCCACCGUUAUGCAGAUACCCCCACCAUUAUGCAGAUAGAACUCCGGCAACCCAAAGGAUUGAGAAUGGUCUCGACCAUGCAACUGAGGGCCAUAUUAGGAAGACACAAGGCGUGUCGUGGAGAGACGUUGUGAUGGGAAACAGGAUAGUUUGCCCAUGUCAGAAUCGCCUACGAGAAAUGAUCAUCGUAUGGCGCAAUCAAAAUCAUCUGGACUCAGGAGACAGUCAAUGAGACUGUCAGGUGCAGGAUCCACUAGACCUGCGAGAGAUCCGUAUCAAGCACAAGACUUCUUACGGAAGGAAGAGAAUGGACAAUUGUGUGUCAACAACCGUGUCCUAAAGCAAGCCCCGAGGAGAGGGCCAACUUUUGAGUCCGUGAGUGGGACUCAGCCUGUUGAAGCUUACGCUAAGGCAUAUGGUCCUGUGUCAGGUGGCAUCCUAAUGCAGAAUGGACACCCUAUCACAGCUGAGAGUCAGAAACAAAGUGCCGCAGAAGGUAGUUAUACGAUGUUUGGAAAAGGAAUGCUGACCACGAUACGUAGUCUGAAGGAUGGAAGACAACAUUCCCAGGGGUCUACACAUGGAAGAGAGACGAACAACAUUGCGACCAACCGCUUUGAUACUCGGCCGAAGUGGGCUUUGAGUCAAGAAAAGUGGCAGAGGGACGUGUCAAGGAAUCCUUGCAGAAAAACUCUGUCAUUGAAGUUGAUGUAAGUCUGGCGGAGACCAGUCAGGUGGAAGAAAAGAAUGGAGUUCAAUUGUGGAAGCUAACCCAAUCUUAUGUUAAUGCUGCAAUGAGUUCGUCAAUGGAUGGAAACCAGUUUGUGGGUAUUUGUGGCGGACAUUCUGUACAGUCCCUUGUUGGUCCCUCCUAUGUUGGUAAGAAUCCUCAAGCUUGCAACAGUACCAAGAGGUGGAAGCUGGAGUCAGACAUCGUUCGGACCGAUCGAGAGGAAGCCUCGAAGUGGCCAGAAAAGUGGGCAGAUAAGAAGCAUCGCCUCCGUGUUGGGGGAGACCAGGUCAUCGUCAAACGGCGAUCUGAACUGACUCAGUUUUUGAAGAAGACUUCAAGAUCACCGCCUCGUGAGAGAACGCGAGGGACAAACAGAAGUUCAAGAAGUCCUUGCUAAAGAAGCAAGGAAAAGAAGAAGACCCAUGGGGGGAUACACAAGUUCGUGGUGAAGCAGAGGAGCCUCCUCAUGGAAGAAGCCUGUGGAAGACGUACCAAGACUGUGAAGCGUGGAGGUAGAAGAUCGAAGGAUUCCAGCUUUGCCAGUCGACGGGGACGUCAACUGUUUAAGUGGGGGAGUGUGUCACGGACAUAUUUUUCCAAAGUGUGUUUACCUUUGGUUAUAUGCUCCGAUUACCCCUAGUUUAUCUCAUCUUUAGUUUGCAUAACUAGUUUAGCUGUUUGCUUUUCAUUCUAGGUCAUAAAGCCUUGGUGUGCGUUUCGACAUUUUCAUAUGCAAGCCUGCCAUAGAGGAAAAUGUUCAAAAUGUACUAUAGGGGGGCAUACCAGUUGAAUCCCCGCCCAAGCAUUAGUUAUACUCUUUGCAAGCAACCCUUUUUCCUUGCAAUUGACAGUCUUUAAUGUUUUAUCGUUAUUUCAAUGUAUUUCUUUCUUUCCCGCGUUUUAUAAACAAAAUUUCCCUAAAACGCAAACGAAGGUUACGACAUACAUCGACGUUACCCACAACUCUUGGAUAUUGAUCGGCUUACUUGUUCAUCGAGUUAGAACAAGUGUCGCACAAUCGUCCGUCUCGAGGUUGAAACGCUACGAUUGUGACACCCGGCAGCCACAUAGAAUUGAGAAAAGCCUAUGGUUGAGGCAGCAUUAAUUUAUGAAACUUUACACGUGGGAAGAGAUGACUCUUUCUAUUCAAACCUGUAAACAUAGAAGACCGCCUCAAUGAACAAGGGAUCAUUCACAUAGAAUAAAUAUGAACAACGAGAAAGGGAAUAUAAGGUUUGAAUUCAGAGGAAAGCCUAGCUUGAAUGAACAAGGUGAAAAGAAUAUUGACAGCUGCACUUACGAGUCUUUCAGUUACCUUUCUGCCUCUUUAAAGAGUUCAAGGUUUUCUAUUAUCGGAAGAAUCAGAAUAAGAAGAAAAUAGAGAGAGAAGAGAGCUCAGGAGGCGCAAUGAAAUAUGCGUGAGAAGCGCAUUUCCUUAGUGGAAUACUUUGAUAGCGGAAUAAGAAGUCGGAGGCUCGGUCAAGACGAUCUUUUGAUCUAUUCUAAUGGUUCUAAUGGAUAGUCCUUCGUUUUAGAGUCCUACAGAUAAAUCCUCCGGACUGGUCCGAAGGCUAGGUUCAUACGGAUAGUCAGGACGGUUAGUUGGAGCCUUGUUUUUCGAAAUCUUCUUUGAGCCUCAGUCGUCUCAUUGAUAAGGACAUCUUUGCAAAUGAAGAGCGGGAGGUGCAAAGUGCGGCUAUUACUUUGAAAAGAAUAGGAGCUCCGCGGUUUGAAUUGAAUAAAAAGGAUAGGCUGAAAUUCAAAGUGAAUAAGAGGAUAUUUUCAGACAUAAUAUCUAAAGUCAAUGAACAGGGCUCCUAACCUGAUUUAUGGGGAGCCUACUACGUCCAUUAGUUCCGAACUUGGCUCCACUCCUAGUAGUUCGAACUUGGCUUUGCUCCUUCGCUUUUUCUCUUAUUGAUCUCUCUUGUAAUGCUUUCUACUAAGAAUCAAGAAAGCGCAACUUCUAUUGUUCGAACGACCUUGAUUAAAAAACGAUGCUUCCUUGGUCGUGUAGAACAUGGAUUAGCAUUAUUUCAUUCCUACAAGCGAUCCCCCAUCCAGGAUUGGAAGAAGUGCUAUAUGAGGACUUUGAGAUCAAAUAGAAUAUAUUUCUUUCAAGACCUCGUGAGCCACUUAUUUCUCCGAAACAAGAGAGAAAAGUGAUUUUCCUCCUUUUUCUCAAUAAGUCGACGACCUUACACCAUUGGGAUACUUCUUUGAAACUAGAGUACAUAUAGGAUACACCGGUGCUAAAACCUUUUCUCAAAAGAUCUUCCAAACUGUUGGGGUCCUUGCUCCGUAUGUUCUUCCCCCGGUGUGAAAGCAGUUGGUUCCAUAGUUUGAGAAUUCUACUGAUCCCAAGUACUCCAUCUCCAUCAUUGCAUAGGGAAUAUAGAAAGUCAAGAAGAAAAGGCAUGAGCAGAAGAAUUGUGUGAAAUAAGUCAAUUUAUCCAAUUGAGGCAUUCUUUCUUUUUCUUAAGAAAAUUCCCUCUAGACAUAAAUCCUUUCUGUACGAGUAGUGAAGAACUAUAGAGAGCAGUGGUUGGUUGUUGACCAACGAAAAGCAUGGGAGAAAGAAAGAUGUUGGCAAGGAAGCAUCAAAAUAGAUCAAUGAAAGAGGCUCAAAGAAUGAUCGAGGACUAUUUUAGUCCGACUAGAAACUAGGGAAACUAAAGACUAACGAAAUCUAGAUGAGAAUCCGUACAAUUAGUCUCGAGAAAAAGAAGAAAGCAAUAAAAAAAGUGAAGACAGAAAAUGAACCGAAAAUCUUCUUCUCUCAUAUUGAAUUCAUCCUUCUACGCAUCUCCAUGGGCUCGACUGAGAGUGGAGGAGAGGACGGGAAGAAUGAGAAAAAUAGUAAGGCGAGAAGACAGGUUCGAAGGACUAUCCAUCAGGGAGUUUGGACCCCGUAGUUAGGAGCAAAGAAUAUUGCGAAAGAGUCAUAAUAGGUACAAAUCUUCUUAGAUUAUGUUGAAGGAGGCGGCGCAAUUCAAUAAGCGAAAGUCAUGAUCCCUUUAAAGCAGACGUUAGGCGCAAAGAAAGAAGCUCAUUAACGAGAAUGAAAGAAUAAUUCACUCAUUAACGAGAAUGAAAGAAUAAUUCACUCAUUAACGAUAAUGAAAGAAUAAUUCUGAUUUCAUCACCUUGUUUUUACGGAGUUCAAUACUAGAUUGAAGACGGAGGGAAAUCCCAGAUUUUGCUAGGUUUUGGGCCUAUAAAGUAGCAAGAAAUCAUGAAAAAUCAGUCAAAAUUAGACAAUUAUCGUAGCAUAUCAAUAUGAGAAAAAGUAUGAAAAAGAAGCAAAAAAGUCGGAAAAUAGCAAUUCAAGAAGAAAGCCUAGGACAGGGAAAAGAAAUGAACACUUCUAGUUUGAGUUUAUGGUCCGGAUACUGACAGGUCUAUUCAUUAUUCCGCUCCUGAAUAUGGAUAAUCCUACUUCGGUUAAUUACGGAUAGUCCUCCUUCGGUUAAUUACAGAUGGUCCUACGGAUAAAUCCUCCAGACUACUUCAAUUAAUUACGGAUGGUCCUACUUCCAUAUGGAUAGUCGUACUUCAAAUGGAUAGUCCUCCGGAUAAAUCCUGCGGACGUAGGACCUUGGACCUUUCUUUCUUUAAUGGAUAGUCCUCCGGAUAAAUCCUGCAGACUGCGUAGGACCCUGGACCUUUCUUUGGCACUCCGGACGGAUAAAGAAAGGAUAAAUAAAGGCGCAAAGAAUAUUGCGAAGUGAAGCGCAUUUAUCUAAGAAAAGAAGAAAGGAUAAAUAAAGGCGCAAAGAAUAUUGCAAGAGCGGGAAUUACCUUUUCUCUUCGGGUUAGCUAAGAGUUGUCGGAGGCUUGAAGUCGAAUAAUUACUUUUACUUAAAGGUUUCACAAACCUGCAAAAUCUUCUCCAAAUUAGCGUUAGCGUUCUGAGCUAGCCAAGCAGUAUAUUUAAAAUAUAGAAAGAAAAAAAUCCAUGCAAUCCAAGUACACUAAGAACCUACAGCAUCGUCACGCUGCGUGCGGAAGGUUAAUUCUUCUAACUCUGGUAUUAUCGUUGAACAAGCAGUUCACAUUCGACUGCCCACGUAGUGGGGGAAGCUCGCUCGCUAACUUUGCACUUCGGCCAAAAUGCCGAAAAAAGGCUAAGGCCGAAGGAGGUCUGCUCCUUCGCUCAAGGAAAAAUUGCCCGAUUGAAUAUAUAUCUUGGAGCAGAGAGAGGAAAGGAUGACGGAAGCCUCAGUCUCAGUACGAAAGGGGCAAAAAGCUGGAAAAGGCAUACUGGCUUCACCUUGCCCUAGGAUGGGGUCCGUCGGAUCUUUUAAGGCAUAAGCUUAAUGCUGAGACGCACGGGGAUAUCCGGUCAAGGAUGGAUAUUCAAGACAAGGACGAAGGCUCUCCUUCACGCAAGAUGAUUACAAGUCUUAGGAGUGAACUUCCGCUUUACCCUUGUGGUAUCAUGAAGCGAAGGGCAGAGAAAGCGAGCGAGAAAACAUAAAUCAAGGCGGUCGUUGACUUAAAAUAGGCAAAAAGAAAAGACAGAGAGCCUACAGGUUUCUCGAUUUACCCUUCUUCUAGGAUAGAAAAAGGCACUGCCUGUGUGACCACUACAAGCAGACGUGACGAGCGAUGCAGGGCCACCCACGACCGCUAGCAAUACGAGGUAAAGCGGCCAGAAAGCAUACCAUAGGAUGCGUCCUGAGGGUAUUCACAUAAACAUUCUUCGAAUUGUUCACAUUCGGCGGGAUGUUCUUAGCCUUGUCUCCAAGUGAAUAAUUGAAUCGGCACCGACACGAUCGGACCUAUUGCAGCCUUCGGUUGACUGGUGGCAUUCGAUGGUAUGCUUUGAGGCCUUCCCAACCUGCUCCGUGUAAAAAGGUAGAAGGAGGCUCAAAGAAUUAUCGAAGAGCGAGACGAAAGAAAAUAGCGACUUCCAGUCGGUGAUGGGAUAUCUCAAUGUUAUCGCAGAUUCAAAGGCGCAAAGAAUAUUGCAUUGAGGCUCGACUGAAAGGAGAGGCGAAUUUGAGAAGAAAGAACUAUAUCGGAUAAAUACUCAACUGCCUCAGACGUCACUGGGACAAGAGCCGGAGAUUCUGAAACCUCUCGCAGCUUCUUUGCUUCCUUUGGUCUCGAUAUUUGAACCGCCUCAAUAAACAAUAAAUAAGGGUCCAAAAAAUCAAGGUCAUCUGAAACCCUUUUUUUUAUGCGCCUCAGUCCUAUCCAUUAGAACGCCGGCCCUCACCCUUUUUCUUCUUAGUGAGAGCUUGAGCUUUAGUCUUCCGAGUUCUCAAAUUCUUUGACCCUCUGUCUCAGUAUUCGGCAGAGAUGCUGAUGUUAACAAUAAAUGCAGGCUGAAUGUUGUAUGGAAGGAUGAUCAUUUCGGCUUCUUGUAGCCAUUGAUGUUGUCUAAUGCUUGGAGAGACAUUGUUUAAUGUGACUUUGGACAAGGUUACUGAAGAUAGAACUAUCUGGCUUUAGGUCAGUUUUCAGUUGCUAAGACAGUGAAGCUCUUUCAUCUUCCUGGUAAUACUGUCCCUUGGUUCAAGCUUCUUUGGGGUAAGAAGCACAUCCCUAGUCAUGCUUUUCUUUCGUGGAUGGCUAUGAAUAAGAGUCUGAGAGUCAAAGCUAAACUGUACAAUCUUUAAGUGCUUUCGUCUUAUUUUGAGGUUUGGAAGCAAAGAAGCAGAGCGGAGUUUGAUUCCUUAUAUCAGAAAAAGAUAUAGGAAGACUCCCAGAAAGAAGAAAGCCUAGGAGCAAGCAAAGAAAGAGUAAGGAUCAGAAAGCUCCUAACCCCUAUUUAUUUAUGGAUGUGAAUUGAGCGAAGGCGCAAAGAAUAUUGCGAAGGUUAAAGAAUAUUGACUUGAUAAACCUCUAUUUAGCUUCUUAUAUCUGAAGACGAUAAAGUCAGAUAAUCAGCCUCCGGCUGGGUCGGAUCGUCCAUACCUAGUUGAGUAUCUCUGUCCGUCAUAACGAAUUCACUCUUUGAAAAAGGGUCGGGCUUUGUUGGAGUUGACUCGGUGAGUACACUUUCAUCUUUACGAGAAGAAGCGCGAACAACAACUAUAUUAUUCAGCGACAGACCUGAUUUACCCGAUGAGUGGAAUGACUCGACAAAAGUCUUAGGACUCGGGACAGACGCGCCUCCUUCCUGCUAGAACUCAUAGGUCUACGGGGUUCUUUCGGUAGCGAGAAUAGUGGUCCCAAACGGAAUAGAAGUACUUUUGAUUCACUGAAUCAUAAUCUUUGAAAGAAGAAAGGGGGACGGAGGAUCAAUGAAAUUUGAUGAUGAUGAGUAAGCUCUUGCUUUUCUUGCUCCUCUUUCUGAAGUUGCGAGAGGUUCAAAAUAUCCUUAUCAAUGAUUGGAGUGGUUGUUCCGGUUGCAACGUUGCUGUUGGAGUAGAAGUUGUAGCCCUUUCGGUGAGGUGCAAAUGCUCGACCUCGACCCAUUGGCAUUAGUUGAGGAUGCACUAUCCCUGAUUAUUUUUUAGGAGAAAGCCUCUUUCGUCGGGUUUAGGGGAAAAGACUAAGAAUGAGGUCCCCUCCCCCCAGUUGAGGAACGAGGGCAAAAGCGAAGCCUAUGAAGUGAGUAUGAGCUCGUUCGACCCCCAUGUAGCAGGAAUAGCACCAUCUUCUCUCUUUCAUGAGUAGUUCACUGCACUCAUUAGUAGCUGGACCAAGAGGUUAUUCACUCUAUGAUCUCCUGGACUGGAAUAGGCGCUCUCCCAUAGCAAGAGGGAGCUCGACGUAGUCGGUCUUUCGACAGUCACAGUAAUUGAGAGAAGCAGCUGCCCGGGAGAGGGAGGUAUCGGAUUAGGCACGAAGAGAGGAUUAGUCGAAUCGACUGUAAGAAGAGGCAUCCGUUCUUGUGGCAGUAGCAGUUGCAGAAGUUGAAUCGUCAGUGGCUGUUCUUGUUUAAGAAAUAGCUGCAGCUAUUCCCACCAAGGCCUGACGAUAGGCUGAUUUCAGGAUUUCCUAUCCAUCCUCAAAUUCUUUGAGCCUUUGUUACAAGAAAAUACUCUUUAGUGACUCAAGAAUACCCUGUCUUAUGGCACCUCUCAUCUGGAGCCUUUGUUUUUAAACAAGUCAAAUUCUCUAAUGGAUAGCCUGAAUUCAUGAAUAUUGAAUUGAACCUACUAAAAUCAAAGGAAUAAAGAAAGAGCUCAAAAGGAGUCAAAAUGAGAAGUCCGAAACCUCAUCACCUACUCCCGGAGGCAAGGUGAAAUUCAAUAUGACGAAGUCUUAUAGUUGGGUCUCAUCCCCCCAUAAUCAAGUAGCAUCCACUAAAAAGAGCGGAGCGCGGAAGGACGAGGCGCAAUUGAAAUAUGCCUGAAUGAAUCUACCCUUUUUAGAUUCGACUACUCCGCUACGUGGGCUUACUAGUAAUGCUGAAGUUUCCUCCUUUUCUAGCUUUCUUUCUAAUGCCCUUCUUUAUGGUCAAGUGUAUGGUCACUUCCCCGAGGCGCGGAUCCCACUACACGGGAAUAUAUUAUGAUAUAAUGAACUAUCUUCUUUCUAAUAGCUGGUUUCAACAGCCACCGGGGAGGAGACAAGAACUCAAUCUACUGAAACAAGGUUUCAACCACAGCGAGAGCAUACCUCAAAAAAAUAAGGAAGAAAAAGAUAAAGGCGCGAAGCAAAGCCUAUGAAGUCAUAAGGGCAAGGGCUUUCCGUGAACUUUCUUAUGAUGGGAAAUCCUUGUUUCAUUUGCGAGACACAUUUCAUUCGUAGAAAUACCACUUCCUACUUCCUCAUCCCGACAAUAAAGAAAGCACUACGCGGGACAAAGUAGAUUCCCAAACUAAAAGGAAAGACUAAAAUCAAAGCUCCAGAUGAGUUGAAUUGAGGUGCAAUGAAAUAUGCCUUUCAGCAGUGUGCGAAUUCGCUCUUUCGGCUGAUAACCUUUCGAUCCAGAAAGCACUACGCGGAAGUUCCCCACUACGCGGCGCGAAGCGACUGCCCACUUUUUGAAAAGAAAUAAAGAGCGCAGAACAAGGUUCAGUUAAGCUUGAUAAAUCAGUCCUUCGCCUAAGAAUAAGGUUCAAAGAAUAUUGAACUCAUGAAAUCAAUAUCCCUGUCUUAUGGGGCCUUCGUAGCUUAAUAAUGGGGAUCUGGUUCAAUUAUAAGGCUCAAAGAAGAUUGAGAAAGAAUAUUGCAAAAUCAAGGCGGCAAAGAAAAGGUGAAUAUGGAUUCGUACGAUUAGACUUGACUGAGAAUGGAAUUGCUUUAGCUAUCUUUUUUUUCCGUCUUUCAAGGUGGAAGCUAAAUCAGAAUAGUUUCUAGUUGAAGGCAAGCAAGCUAGGGUUGGUUCGUAUUGACAAAGAGCUGGACUUCUAAACUUUCAAUGGGUACUGGAGUACUACUUUGUCAAUCGAUGCUUAAUACUAUCUUUACGCAAAUAAAGGCCGAAGAAUGAGGCUAAGUCUUCUAUUUAGUGGUCUCGCUUUGCACCUUGCUGAUCUCAUUUCAAAAAUGCUUCGCCUGCCUCUUCUUGGAUUCCGUGCACGAGUAAGUACCCGUAAAUCGUAAAGAAAGAGGGGGGGUAGUUACCUGCUCUUUCAUCGAGAUUGGCGAAUUACGGUAGAAGAUAGAAGAGGUUCGAGGAUCAAAGUAUUUGAGCUUUGCUAUUACUUUCAUGCUCCUCUUAGAAGGAAGAUAAGCACGAUAAGCUGGCCUAUAUCAUUGCUUAAUUCAUGCUUUCUUCGUACUUCCGGAAAGAAAUCUCACUCAUUUCAUUCUAUCACAUAAUGAGAACUCUAGAAAAGAAAUUGCUUACUUCAUGCUUUCUUCGUAUUUAUUUCCAAUCCAUCUUUUGUCUAUGACGAUCGGUACGAAAGGAAGGCAUGCUCGCAGGGGAUUCUUAUUACUAAUAGAUGAUAAGAUAAUACGAGAAUGAAAGAGGUCGAGCGCCUCACCUCUGAGUCUGAUUGUUGGAGUAGUCUGAUGACUCCCACUGGUCGUCUUUCAACUCAUUAAAUCCCCUAUCUUUUAUGGCGGUCUUACCGGAAUAUCUACUUUAUAGAAUUCCUAUGAGACUAAGAAACAAACUGAGACCUCGUAGUCUUCCUGUUCCCGGUCGAUCCUAUGAUCGAUCUCAUACAAAGAUCUCAUCUCAUCGACUAAAAAGACUCUUUCUUCUUAGUUUGAGCUUGAGGCGCGUCCAACCCACUACGCGGUAAGCUUUUCCUCUUUUCCUCUCACUUCAAGACUCAAGACCUUACCCGCACCGAGUCAAUCCGAUCGCUACCUUUCCGGGUCGUAUUCUAGUAAUUAAUUUCAUUAAUAACUCAGAGCGGCGAUCUAAAUACUUCUUCAGCAAGAACUUCGAAGAAGGUAGAGGAACUGAAAUGGAUUCACUUCCGCAGGCAGCAUCCCUUUCAACGACGACUCCCCGAGAGACCCGCUUCAAACUUCCGAUUUAGAAAGAAGGUAUCUCAGUCUCUUACCGCGUAGUGGGCUGAUCGUGAGAGAUGGAAUCUUCAACCUCUUAUGGAAAUGUGUCCAGCGGAAGUAUUUACGUAAGAAAUUGAGAACCAGGCGAGAGGAGAGGGGUGAGGAUCGAGCGCAUUCCCUAUCGAUCAGCAUCCUCAACUCUACUUCAGAGCUAGAAAGGUUUCGGAAUUCAGAGGCAAGAGCAUUCCUUCCUCUUCUUUAGUCAAGUCAUUUCAUUCCAUUUCUCACUAGGUCUAUAGAAAUAGUUCAUGGCCACUAGGUCUCGUCAUAUUUUUUCUCAAGAGAUGAGAAGAAAGUUCCUAAUAGAAUAUGUUUGAAUAUCUCAACUAGAAAGUCUCGGAUUAACUCUUCCCAUAGCGUAGCCGCGGCGGAAAAGGAAGAUUUUCAACAGUCAAGAGAUCAAUCAGAAGGGAGCGGAAGAAUGGAUAUUGUCUUCGAUCUUGCGAUAAAAUGAGUGAGACCAUAUGCGAUCUGUCUCAAACAGAGAAUUAGUAAUCUGAGUCGCAGGGAAUAGGUUGAAUAGUCCGGAGGACGGGGAGAAGAAAAGAGAGGUUCCGAGGUUCAAAGAAUAUUGGACAAAGAAUAUUUCAUGAAUUGAGGUGCGGUAGUCCGUCCGAAGGACUAUGAAAUCCAUUAGUUUUCGUUUGCACUCCUUUCUUCUUUUCUUAGAUAUUCUGGGAUUGAACUCCGUCUGAAAUCUAGCAGAUUCAUUUUUAGCUUCUUUCAUUCUCGUUAAUGAGCACUUGAACUGUCUUUCUCAGGCGCAAAAAAUAUUGCCGAGAAGAGCAAAGAAGGAAUGGCGAUCAGAAUUGAGUCCUUUCAUACUUUCGUUGAGGAGGAGGAGUUUUUUCUUGUAUCAUAUUAGGAUAUUUUAGUAGAAUAAGAAGAAGAAGAAGAUAAGUACGUAGCGGGCUUUUCUUAUGGCGGAGCGGAGGAGUCCGACUAUCCACUGAAGAAAGUAGGAAAGCCUAAGGAACCUAAAAAGGGCUAAUAGGGGAAGGAAGAAAGCCUAUCCCUCCAGAAUCUUUGAGGACCGAAGGACUUCUUUAUAUCCCUAUUUAUUUAUUUAUGGGACUCCCAGAAAGGUUUAGUUCCAUAAAUCAGUCGGCUAAUAUAUAGGAUGAAAGUAGAUAGAGAGGAAAAGAAAAAAGUCGUCACUCUUAAGGAGUGCAAGAAGGAAUCUUUGAACCUUUUAUCCUGAUCUCUCUCAUUCUACAACUCAGUCGAGCCACUAUUCAACCUUCUUUUCGAGGGGACAUCAUGUCCUCUUAUCUUAAUCCCAUAAAUCAUUUAAGGCGAUACUGAAAGAAGAAAUCCAGCAACUUAAUCCGGUAGAGUCAAUUCGAGACUAAGACGAGUUGGGGUUUCGACCAUAGGCUUUCCUUCCAAACCUACUAUACUAAACCUACCCCCGGACUCAAGGCGCGAAGUGAAGCGGCUGCCCACUUUUUAGAAAUAAAGAGCUGAGAUAAUUCUUUUCACUCAUUGAGGUCGGCUAAAUUCAAUGGAUAAAGAAGUCCUUUGCUUCAUUCUAUAUGUCCUUAUCAAUGAGACCAUUAAUCAGUCCGAAGGACUAUCCAAAGAAAAGAAUAUCCCUGUCUUAUGGGGCCUCCGUAGCUUAAUAUGGAGCGCUCCGGACGAGUCUUAACUAAUAUUCCCAAUCAAAGAAUUAUCGAAAGAAUGAUCGACGAGUCUUAUUCCACUAAAAUAGUAGUCCUUCGGAGCAGUCUUAAUACUCCUAAAAUCAAAGCUCCAGAUGAGUUUCAUUCCACUAAAAGACGAAAGAAGGUAUCUCAGUUACCAAAGAGAAAGAGCUUCCACAAACCACUUCCACAUAAACUUCUGCUAAGUCUACUUCUGUUAUUGAUUCAACUUAGCCUUUAAUCAGAUUAGGACCUAGCUAGCCAACCUUAUUCCUUCCUCUUCCUUACUUUGUUCUCGCUUGCUUCGGCAACACAUCUUUGGAUACUGGAUAAGCUGCAAGAGAAAGACUUCUUCCGAUCGAUCAGCUACCCGAUUCCUCCUUCCCCGAUGAUAAGGUUAGCAGGCCCGAUCCUCUCCUAUUGAAAAAGAAAGCAGAAAUCUUUCAGUCCAGAGUAUUUAUCCGUAGCCCGGAGGAUUUAUCCGUAGGACCAUCUGUAAUUAACCGAAGUAGUCUGCAGUCUGAAGUCCGCAGGAUUUAUCCGGAGGACUAUCCAUUAGAAGUAGGACCAUCCAUAUGGAAGGAAGUAGUCCAGAAUCCGCAGUCCGCAGGAUUUAUCCGUAGGACUAUCCAUUUUCAGUCGGACUAUCCAUAUGGAAGGGAGCGAAAUCUAGCUAUGAGGACUCUUUGAGCUCUUCUUUGAGUCAGUGGCUGCCCUUCCAGAAGGAGCAGCGAAGUCCGCGGUUUCAGAGGUUUAUGUAGCAGUUCUUCUUUAAUAAGAUGCUUACUUUCUUUCGGGUAGAAAGGUUCACUCGUGAACGCACUACUACAGAAAUUGGUUUACUUGACGUUAAUACAAUGUCAAGUAAAUGUAUACUUGACGUUUUUAAAAGCGUCAAGUAUUCGACUGUCAAGUAUAGUUACAUUACUUGACACUAAAAAACUGUCAAGUAUACGUUUACUUAACACUGUAUUAACAUCAAGUAAUCGACUGUCAAGUAUAGUCACAUUACUUGACACUAAAAUAUUGUCAAGUAUACAUUUACUUGAGACUGUAUUAACGUCAAGUAUUAUAUCAUACUUGAUGUUUAUUACGUGUCAAGUAAGAUCAUACACAUGACGCCUUUUACAUGUCAAGUAAAGUCGUAUACUUGUCAAUUUUUGCACUUCAAGUAAGAUUGUAUACUUGACACUAUGUAUCCGUCAACUAAGAUGAUAUACUUGACACUAUUUAUCCGUUAAGUAAAAUAGUAUAUUUGAUUCUAAGAUAGUAUACUUGACAUGUAUCUAACGUCAUGUAUACCAUUUAUUAAUAUAUUAAAUAUAUAAAAAAUUUCAUUUCCUGUUUUCUGUAUUACGUACAUUCAUUUCAAUAAAACAUAUUCAUCGACAAAAUAAACUCUCCAACUAGUAGUUACACAAAAAAUAAUUUAGUAUAAGUAAACCAACAAUAAUUUUAUUACUCUCAACAACAUCGUCAACAAUUACACAAUUCCAAUCCAAUAUAGUCAACUAAAAUUUCCUAUAUGUGGCCUAUUCCAAAAUCAACAAAAUAAUUAUCUUAUAUAACCAAAAACAUGUGUGGUAUACCAAAACUAAAAUCUAUCCCUUUACAUCUAUUGCAUGUACAUAAGCAUAAUAGCUAUGAACGAAACAUUUACAAAAAAAAAAAAAAAAAGUUAUGGGCAUUCCCAUAUAUUAGUCAUUCACAAAAUUAAUAAGAUCACAUCUAAGGAUGUCUAUCAUAUGUACAAAGCUAAAAAUUUAGCCCACUCCGCUCAUACUUCAUCCAAUUCAAGCUGUGAGUAGAAACUCUUGUAUCAGUCUAUAAAACAUAAAAAAUCAAGUAGACAUUUGUUAAAAAUAAAAAUUAAUCAGAUAAGUAACUUAUUUCCAUCAUAAAAAAAUAAUCCCCUUGUAAAAAAUUCUACAUUGUAAGGAGGAUAUUGUAAACCUAAACAUGAAUAUUUAAACCUAUAUGAAACUAAGUACAAACAUAAAUUAGAAAACCUACACUAAAUAAAUAUUGUUAAUGCUCAAAAACAGUUAAAAAUUAACUUAAAGAAUACCGUAUAACUUAAGCAAGUUUCCCAGAUCAUAAUACACAAGAGUACCUAUUCAACUGAGUUAAGUGCUUCAACACCUCCCCGCAUCUGCAAAGAAAAACAUUACAAGAGUAAAGGGAGAGACAAAAAAACGAACUUCCUUUGAUCUUCUUACAACAUUCACAUUUAUCAAGCUCCACUAAAUCACUAAUAAACCAAGAGGACACUAUUGCUUACCUAUUUAUUGCAGAGAAUCUGGGUUCAAGACAAAAAGAACAAAAUAAUUAUACACCAAAUAUUUUGAAGAUUAUUGAAUAGAAAUGUGUAUAUUGUUCACGUGAAAAUUUCACCUACCAUUCUGCAAAUCAAAACAAAUUCUUUGAAUGAAACCAAAUCAUCGAUGAACUCUCACCACCCUGAAUAAAAAACCAACGAAAUCAAUCAAAGAAAACAAAUACAUUGAACUCAAAAAACAAAAAAGAAAAACUCUCAUCCUCUAACAUUCAGUAGUGAACGAAAAAGGGAAGAAAAUCAGAGGGGGGCGGCUUUUCGGUGAGAAGAAAAUCAGAAGGGGGCGUGUCCAGUGAGGAGAAGGGAGAUCGAGAAGAACUCCAGUGGUGAAGAAAUUCGGUGGGGGCCAUUCCACGUGAAGAAAAUCAAAGGGGAAGGGGGCUUUUCGGUGAGAAGAAAAUCGGAAGGGAAGGGGGACACGUUCGGUGAGAAGAGGGGGGCGAGAAAAGAAAUUUGGUGGAGGGUCGUCUGACGUGAAGAAAAUAAGAGGGGGCUUUUUAGUGUGAAAAAAAUCGGAAGGUUGCGUGUGAUAAGGGAAGAGAGGCAGCAUGUGAGAGAAAAUAGGAAAAAGGAGGGAAAAUGAAAAGAGGGAAAGGGUUGGGGAAAAAAAUUUGGGAAAUAAGUUAGGUUUUUUUAGAAAUAGAGAAAAAUGGAAAAUUUAGAGAAAAAAAGAGAAAAAAGUUUUAGAACUUUAGGAUGAAAAAAAUAAUUGGAAAAAAAAGGGAAAAGUUUUUUUUUUUUUUUAGAAAAUAGAGAAAAUAUAUAUUACUUUUGAUAUUUUAAUAAGUUUAUUGUAAUAAUUUUAUUUUAAUUAAUUAUUUAAUGAAAGGAGGGAAAUAAAAAGUAUUUUAUAUUUUUAUACUUGAUAAAAUAAAAAUGUUAACUAUACUUGACGUUAUUUCUGCAUCAAGUAAACAUUAACUAUGUUUGACGUGAAAAAAAUGUCAAGUAAAAGUUGAACUAUACUUGACACUAAAACACCGUCAAGUAAAUUCGACACUAUACUUGACAUGGAAAAAAUAUGAAGUAAAAGCUAAUGUAAGAUAAUUAAAAAAUUUCAUGAAAAUUUUGCUUUCUUUAAACUAUACUUGAUGUUUUGUUCGUGUCAAGUAAAAGUUCAUUAUACUUAGCGCAAAUAAAACGUUAAGUAAAAUCUCCCUUAUACUUAACGAGAAAAAAACGUCAAAUAAAAGCUAACUUAAAAUAGUUUGAAAAAUUUCGUAAAACUCCACUUUUUAAAAACUAUACUUGACGUUUUUUCUUUAAAAUGGUCAAUACUUGACAUUUUUUUAAUAAAAACGUCAAGUAUGUAAAAGUACCUAGUGUCAAGUAAAGUAGAUUUUGUAGCAGUGACGGUACACCUCUUAUAUGAUGCCUGGGGACUUUGUCCCUUCUUCUACGGAUUUCUCUUAUAUGAUCUUAUUCAUCUCCGUAUCGUUCAUAUAUUCAUUCUAUAAAAUCCCUAGCUGCCACAGAUGGUCGAACUUGCCUCUUAAGUGGCGUGGGUCGAUCCUCUUGUUGACUUUUACCUAGGAGUGGGGGGAAGAAGUUCGAGAAUAAUUUCUCUUCUUUCCCUGUCCCAGUUCUUCUUUCCACUUCUACUUAAGUCACCACGACUGAUACAGAUGCAAGAACAUCAGGGCGAGCAGGGAAGAGGCGGAGGGAGUUUGCACUUUUUCAUGCGGGUUUGAGUGAGACUGAUGCGCCCUAGGUCAAGCCAUUGCUUCGUCUUGUUCAUCACAUUCAUUAUGUUCACAAUUCCGGAAUCAAAGUAGAAAUACGAGAAAGCGCUCCAGCGGACUCUAAUUCAUUGGGAAUUCUAUCUUCCCGCCUCAAUGAACAAGGUGAAAAGAAUAUUAAAUGAAUCAUUGAGUUAAGGCGGUGGAACCUAGGAGUGGGACCGGGAACAUGAUAGGCUUCAAUCUAAGAAGUGAAUAUAGUAUUGAAAGAGGCCCACGGAGCGAUGUCCGACUAUCCUACUAUCGAAGCCUUGAAGCAUGAGUCUUGAGGUUUUCAAAGUCUACUCAGAGGACGAGGUUGAAGUUUCAUAGGGAAAGGUUUCAUAACAAGCAGUUGUUUUCCGUAUCGAAUGCUCUUUCAUUCCUUAUUCGAAAGAAGGCAAAGAAAGUGGAAACUAAAUCCUUGGAUUCUUUCCCGCUUGAACCAUGAAAGGUUAGGCCUUAGUUACGAUCUCAUUCAAUGCCCUAGCAUACUCAAAGGUUCGGGGCGUAGUGGAUGGAGCUAGAAGACUACUACUUGGACGAGGGAUUUCCUUUCUCUUAUUGUAAUACUCCUAACCACCCCUUUUUGAAUGGGCAGGCCCCUCUGGUCGAGUUUACCCUUUUUAUUCAGGCCUAUCUGCCUCCGUUCAUGAAGGACAAAAUCGGAUUGAGCCCUUGUUCAUUGAGGCGUAUAAGCCCACGUAGCGGUGCCAUAAGACAGGUCUGAAGGCGUCACAGGUCCGGAGGACCCGUCUGUCCGAAGGACGAGAUAUUUAUAAUGUUGAGAGAAAGAUUAGACUUUGUCAGGACCCUUAUUUCCGUUAUUUUUCACUUUCAAUAUUCUUAAGAAUAUUCAUUCAUCCGACAGAGCAAAGUUCAUCCAGAUCCCCAUAUGAAUUAGGCGAAGGACUGAUUUUCAAAGUCAGAGCUAUCCCUCAAAUUCUUUGAGCCUCUGCACUCAAAUUCUCUAAUGGAUAGUCCUUCAGACCGCUAGGAGUAAAGAAUAUUGUGUGGAACUGAACUAAUAUGGAAAAAGCAUUUCCUAUUGAUUUCUCCCCUGGACUGGACCUAUUCUGAUUCUGAAUUAUCCGUCGCUACGUUGUUCCCAUGGACUAGCAAAAUCGAAAUAGCGAAAUUCUUGGGUCAUCUCAAUGGGUUCAGAAACCACACGUUUCUCUGGAUCAUCAUAGCGUACUUCCACAUAUCCACUCAGAGGAAGGUCUUUUGUAAUGGAUGACCCUCGAAACCAUAAUAUGUUGAUAUACGGCGUAGAUCCGGAUGAUUGAUGGAAGAAACACCAAACAUAUCCCAAACUUCUCGCUCCCACGGCCGGCUGAUGGAAAUAGACUGACUACCGGAGAGAUUCGUGUUACUUCGUCUGCACUGGUUUGUACACGAAUGCGUGAGUUAUACCGAGUACUCAGUAAAUUAUAGACCACUUCAAAUCUGAGUUUUCUAUAUAUAUUUAUAUUGAUGUUAAUAUGUUACCUUGUAAUUGGAAUGGUGAUUUGAAUAAUCUAAUAGGAUUAUGUGUUUGGAUCAAAAUAUGUUGCAAGAGAAAUAGCUAAAUGUGUGGAUUUAGUGACAAAGAGGGUAUUCAUGUGUUUAUUUUAGUUUUCUCAGUGAGGACUCGAUUUUUAGAAGAAACGACCACUGUUCGAAUCAUUCAAAACUUUGUUCCGAACAAAAAUUUUGGACUUUGUCAUUGUCCUCUUCGUCGAAUGUGACAAACUUGAAGACAACGAUGAAACAUUGAAAGAUUACUUGGAUCGAAAAUGUCCUGUGGGGUUGAAAGAUACCAUAGCCGCUAGCAAGAACUGUUGCUUGGUUUUCAAUAACAAAACCGAUAAUGAAACAAAGAAGAUUGAAUAAGUGGAUAAACUUAUAAAGAUGGUGCAUGAAGUUGUACAACAAAAUGAAGGAAAAGCAUACACUCAUGGCUUGUUUUCUAAUGUCAAGUUUGAGACCAAGUUGCAAGAUGAUGUGAAAACCAAGCUUGAACACACAAUUACAGUUCAAAACACAAGCAAAAUUUAAAGCAUAACAAGGAGCACAAGAACUUCAACAACAAUCUAUUGAUCAAAUUCGAGUCCUCAAAGACCAUCUAUGCAUCAAGACUUGAAAGGUCACUGUCACUACCAAUGCUUCCACAAAUUAUUCGUCAUGGUCGCUGCAUGAGAAAAGGUUGCAUUAUUGUAUGACUUUACUGUGCAUGCAUUCAAUAAAUAUGUACAAGUAAUUAGUAUAAUGAAUAUAUACUAAAUAAAAAUAUGAAAAAACUGUGAAAAAAAACUUAUUUGAUUAACUGCUAUAAAAAUUAAUAUUUGAAAAUUGGCAUGUGUUCUCGAAACUAAUAAAAGCAAGUUUGGAAAUGCCUUUAUUUUGUCUUUGUUGAGUGUAGUGUAAAUUGGCAAAUAUAGAAUGCUUAAUUAUGUUGUUAAUUAAUAGAAAAUUAUUUUAGAAGUUUUGAUGAAUGUCCAACUACAUGUGGAAAGAAUUAUAAAGGAUUGAAAAAUGAUUCUAUAAUCUAGCCCAAACAAGAGGUGGGUUAUUAUAGCUCACUUCACUUCUAUUUAGUUUGGGACCCAAAUAGCCUCUUAAAAUUAGGUUAACUCCAUAACUAAUAAGGGUCUUUAACUCAUAUAGUCUAAAUGCUAUAUGAUAUUACAUGAAUGAUCCAAAUUACUAAUAAAUUUCAUAAAAGUCCUAAAUGGACUAGUAUAUUACAUAAAUGUAGGCUCAAAUUACUUUAAUACCAAUUUAUAUUAUUUAAUUGAUUUAUAACAAAUAUCUAAAUGAAAAAAACCGUGGGAUAUAGUUUUGGAAAGAAGUGGGGUCCAAAUUAAUUUAAUAUCAACUUCUAUUAUUUAAUUUAAUUGAUUUAUAACAAAUAUCUAAAUGGAAAAAAUGGUGGAACACCGUUUUGGAAAUAAGUGGGGUCCAAAAUAAUUUAAUACAAAUUUUUAUUAUUUAAUUGAUUUAUAACAAAUAUCUAAAUGGAAAAAAUAAAGAGAUACAGUUUUGGAAAGAAGUGAAAAACUUUUCAUGCUUUCCUACCACGAAAAUGGUUGUCUACUCCUUUCAACGUGGAUUACGAUUUUUACUUCAAAAUUUUAGAGAGUUCGGAGGUGAAGAAGAAGACAGUCGACGACCGACAAAUACAAAACUUCUCGAACAUAAUCUAGUUAAAAACUUUGAAGUUAGUAUUGUAUAUAUUCAACACAUAUGAAACAUUAGAUAUAUUAUGUAUAUUUUAGAUAUUCAAUUAAAUAGUCAAUCAAAUGAAAAUGUAGUUUUGAAUGUGAUACAUUUUAGGGUUUAUUGAGAUUUCGGCGGUGAAGAAGAAAACUUUUGAUGGCCAAAAAAUACAAAACUUAUCCGACAGAAUCUAGCUAGAAAAUUUGUGCUUAAUAUUAUAUAUAUUCAAAACAAAUGAUUAGAAACAUUUAGUAUAUUAGGUAUAUUUUAAAUAUUCGAUUAAAUAGACAAACAAAUGAAAAUAUAUGAAACAUUUGGUAUAUUAGGUAUAUUUUAAAUAUUUGAUUAAAUAGACAAACAAAUGAAAAAUUAGUUUUGAAUGUGAUACAUUCUAGAGUUUAUUAAGAAUUCAACGUUGAAAAAGAACGGUCAUCCUAUCAAAAAAAUAAUAGAACUAUAUAUAUAAUAUGAGGUAUAUAUAUAUAAACAUAGAACAUAACUAUUAUAGAUUACGGAUAUAUUAAAGUAUAAUGUAAUCAAAUACAUUUAUAAAGGAAAAAUAUGUAUGUAUGAUCAUGUCGUUUACUACCGUUUUAGUAAUAUUUAUUCUACAAACACAAAUUAUGUAGGAAUUAUGUAUAAGGUAUUAUUGUAUAUAAUAUGAGGUAUAUAUAUACUAAAUAACAUAUAUGAAUUAAAGUGUAUAUUUUAUUAGUGAAAGGUUCUUAUAUCAAUUUGUUUAUGAUUUUUAUUUAAAUAUUCAUAUAUUAUGUAGUAAAUAAUACGUUAUGUUUGAAAUAAUAUUGAUUAUGUAUUAAAGUUGCCCAUUAGACAGUUUUUUAAUAAAAUAUACCUAUUAUAUUAAUAUAGAAAAUGGGAGGAAAUCGUGCAACAUUAAAAUAGGAAACUUCUUUACCAUUUUCUCACUUUCCAUAUUCAACGAAAAGCUUGCCAUUUCGACAGUCAAUGACAUAUACAACAUAUUAUAUAAUGCGAUAAUAUUAUAAAACUAGUAUAAUCAUAAAUAAGAUGUGAUAUAUAUUUAAGGGAAAUAUUAAAAAACUGAUAAAUUCAUAAUAGAAUAACGUUAAAAUAAGGAGAAUAUUGUUAAUAUAUAAUAUAUAUACGCAUAUGAUAUACUCAUAAUGAACUAAUUUUAAAUGGGUAAAAUAACAAAUGACAUAUUUAUGUUAUUCUUCAUAUAAAACAUCAACUAAAAGUAUUAUAUCUCACGGUUAAUAUAUAAAACUAUUAUAAAUGUAAACAAGAUGUGAUAUAUAUAUAUAUAUAAUAAAUCACAUAUACAACCUAUUAUAUCAUCCGAUAAUAUUCUAAAAUUAGUAUAAUCAUAAAUAGUAUGUGAUAUAUGUUUAAAGGGAAUAUUAAAAAACUGGUAAAAUCAAAAUAGAAUAACAUUAAAAUAAGAGGAAUAUUGUUAAUAUAUACUAUAUAUACGCAUAUGAUAUACUCAGAAUGAACUAAUUUUAAAUGGGCAAAAUAACAAAUGACUGUGGAUUUUAUCUUAUCUUCAGGUGAUGGACAAUUGUAUAUGACGGCGAUUUGUUAAGAUUCUGCAGCUUACGGUUAUGAUAAAUUUGAAUACAAAUUUAUAAAACAAUGUAAUAAGAAGUUCAAAUGAUGGAGAAGAAUAGCAAAAAAAAGCUGUCGGCGAUGGAGAAGAUAAUGUAAUGGCUGCCAGAGAGAGUGAACAAUUAGGUUAAGUUAUAUUUUUAGAAAGAAUAAUUAAAUAGUUUAUUACAAAAUAAAGUAAAAUUACAAUUAUUAUAAUAUAUUCUGAUUUAUAAUUAAUUUAAAAGAUACUUGAAAUUAUUAACAUAUUAAGGUCUUUUGUUUAAAAGUUUCAACUAAUAAUAAUGAUAGUUCUCAUUAACCAAUUGACAAAUGAUUGAUAUUGUCAAAUAAUCGAUAUUGUCAAAUGAUCGAUAUGUGCAAGUGCACAUUUCAAUUAUAAUAUAGUAAAACGUUCUUAGAGAUCGAGCUAGUAUCCUUUUAAGAGGGAUCAAAUUAACAAAUUAAUUUAUUGAUUUUAGGAUUAGAUGUGUUUUAAGGAUAAAAACAAUGAUUAGAAACUAAUAAAAGAUCCCUAAAAGACAAAUAUGAAAUCUCAAAGAAUAAAAAAUGCUCCAAAAUUGUAUUUGAUUUCACUGUUCAAUCCAUAAAAUCAUGAUGUGUAUAGGUUAUAUGAAAACUAGUGUCAGUAUGUGUUCAGCUCAAGUUGUUGACUUUUGAAAAAAAUAUCUUUCCAUUCAAACAUAUACAUAGUUUGGUUGGUAGUUUUUCUUCAAAAUUAUUAUUUUGAGAAAACAAAUACAAUUUCUUUUUUAGGUAAUCCAAUAUCCUCGAGUAUAUUUAAAUAUGGAAAUAUUAUUUCCAUAUUAGAAGAGAUACUAAAAGAUCUUAUUAUAACAUCAUUAGAGUCCCAUCAUUUUCUCUAAAUAUCUCUUUUGUGGUGAAAGAUUUGGAAUUGCACAUCAAUCAUUUUGGAAUGGGUAAUUGAUCACCCUAUUUUUCAAAAAAUAAGAAAGAUAAAAAAUAGUUAUUUUUUUUAAAGAUAUAUUUGAAAGUGUUGAGUUUAUGGAAGGUAUUAGUACUUAUACAACCACAAACAUUUGAUUUUUGUUAUCUAAAUUAUUUUAAUAAAAAUGUUUUUUUUUUUUUGAAGUUUAUGCUUAUUAAAAAUGCUUAUUUAAAAAAUGUUAAUGAAAUUUUAAAAAAUAAAAUCUAAUUAAACACUUCUGAGAUAGAGAGGUUUCCCUUGACUACCCGAGCGUAGAUAAACACUUCUGAGAUUUGGUUGGUAAUCCCAAGUUCGUGUGCAGUUGAUUAUUUUUUAAAUUUUGUAUAGUUGAAUAAUAUUUGAAUUUUAAAUUUUCAUCUAUGUGAUAUUUACUCAUUUCAAACUUUUUGAAUAUGCAUGUUUAUUUAUUAUUCUGCCGUCUCUCUAUUGUAUUUUAAAAUUUAGAAUAUGUGUAUUUAUAUUAUUUGAAAUUGAAAAUUUAACUUUUGCUCUUACAGUAGGCUUUAACUCUUUGUUUGUCCGUGUUGUAGGUGAGAGAGAAGGAAAAGUUCCAUUGUUUGAUUGAAUUGGAAUUGUUUCGUGCAUGGGGUGUCAUACAUAAUUCCACUUAUUACUAGUUGAAGGUCUUCUUUGCCUCUGUCUUCUUCCCCAUCUCCCCAAGUUGUUCUAACCUUUUUAUAUCUACCUAUUACAUGUCAAAAGGUUGUUUCGCUCUUCAAUGUUUUGAAACAAGUUCAUUAUGAAAAUCUCUCACAAGCAAACGUCAUGUGCAUUAUGAAUAAUUUCAUCUCAAAAAAAUUGUUUGAGAGGUUUCAAAAGUGUAUCGAAACUAAUAAUUUUAAUGAAUAAAAAAAUAAUUCUUCGUUAGAUUCUUACAUUUUAUUUCAACGAAUAAAAUUUAGGAAAAUUUUUAAAAAUAGCAAAUUUUACAAAAAUAUUUACAAUUUAUAACAAAUUUAUAGUCAUUGAUAUGCUAUAACGAUAGUUACUAGUAAAUAUUUUAAUUUAUUUUGUUAUUUUUAAAAAUGCUCAUAAAAUAUUAUAGUGAGGGAACAAUGAUGAAUCACAUAGUUUUCUUGUGGUGAUGUCGCUUUUUAUCCCUCUUUACAUUCUAAAAUCUCAAAUACAAAUCAUAAAACAAGUAGAUAUACAUUCAAUUAACAUGAUUUUGAUUCUAAUAAAUUAGAAAGACAAAAAUAACUAACUAAUUAUGGAAAAGUAAUAUUUUAACAUGAAUUAUUGAUUUUUAAUUAGAGGUAAUUUUAAAAUAAAUAAAAUAAAAGAAAAUAUUACAAAUCAAAUCUAAACUAACUUUGAUUUUACUUCUUUAAUUGCAAUAUAACAUAGAUACAUUGGCUAUGAAGUGCAAUUUCUUAUAUUAUAAUAUUUAAAAGAUUUAAAUUUAAAAAUAAAAAUAAGUAAUCUCAAGUCCAAUAUUGGACCUGUGGGGCUUAGCCCAUCAAUUUAAAAAUUCAAAAUGCACACUCAACGGUCACAUUUUCCUAGGAUCAUCCUAUUUAAUGCCCUUCUACUUGUCAACUCCAUCGAAAUCCUUCAUUUCUUGUGGCACCGUCUAAAAUUUGCUUCGAUUGAAGAAAUUUUGACGCCCAUGACAGCGUUGAAAUUUCUUCAAUGCAAACAAAUUUUUUAUCUUCCUUUCAUCGAGGAUUUUCAUACCAUGUGAAGGAGAGAUCAGUUCCAUCAGUUCCAAGUCGUUCGUGAGUCAUCUUCUUUCCUGUGUAGUUUCAUCUCUUGAUUUUGGAUUGCUUGUUCAAGAUUUAUUUUCGAAUUUUGGAUUGUUUGCUAUUCGGAUAGGCAGAAGGUUUGCACGAUGAUAGAUCUGGAGUACCUGAAUCGUUUAUUGAUUCUGUAGUUUAAUCUUAUGAUUUUGGUGAUUUCGAAGCGUACAAUAUAAUCGUACUGUGUUAUGAAGUAAAUAAGAUUUUGUAGGGUUUUUGAAAGUUAAUUUAGAUAUUUCCUGCAUUUUAGUCUUGAUAGAUCUGGGUACCUGAACCGUUCAGGUUUGCAUGCUGUGAUUGUGUUGUUCUUUUUUGAUUUUGGAGAGAGUCCUUGGGUAAUUUUGAGGAUUGUUCUUUUUUUAGUUUUUUUUUGCAUGCAUUCAAACACACGCAUGGUUUUUAAACUGGGGUUCUUGAAUAUUUGUUGGUUUUCUCGAAUAUUUGCCGGUUUUUUUUUCUCAGAAGAAUUGAUCUUAUAUUUGUGUAUCUCUCUGUGCAACUUUAAUAUAAAGUUAUUAAGGAAGAAGAGAAAGGAGGAAGAAGGGAGAGAGAAAAGGUAGAAACGACCUAAUAGUAGGCAUGAGUAUUAAGAUGCAGCAGAGCCACCACUUAGUGGCGCUAAGGUUUAAUGAGCAAAUUGACAGUAGAAAAGGGUCCACAUCCAUACCUAAGUUACUAUUGCUCUGGGUUCUGUUGGUGGCAUUCAUUAGUAUGUUAAACUACAAAGAAAUGGAUGGGUGGUGUUAACAAAGUUAGAAGAAAGUAAGUUCUGGGAAGUAUGUGUGACCAGACGACAAAGAUGCUUCUGCCUCAACUUAGUGUCAGUGUCAAACUAUGUCCAGGCUUUGGCCAUUCUCAUUUCAUUUCCAGUACUUCAAAAUCGUAUCAGCAAUUGAUCAGGAAAAUGUGUUUCGAUUUCUGUCUUUUAUUAGUCUCGGUUAGUUAGGCUUAAGAGUAAGGGAUAUAAUUCAUUUUUCUUGUUUCAGCUAGAAAUUACGUCGAUGUCUUGAUUUUUAGUUUUUUUAGGGCUGUUUGGUUGUUUUUUUAGGGGUGUUUGGUUAGUUAGGCCUAAGAAGUAAGGGCUAGUGAAAGAGAAGCAUUUGAUUGUCCUACAAGUAUCUGAAUCGCCAAUGAAAGCAGAGGUUAUUUCCUCUGAAUUUCCACGAAUUGUUCAGGUUUGGAUUCUGUGAUUGUGUUGUUCUGUUGUUCUCUUUUUUAUUUUGGAGUGUUCUAGGAAAUUUUGAGGUUUGUUAUUUUUUAGUUUUUUUGGCUUGCCUUUAAUCACGCUCGUUUGGGAAUAGACAGGCUUCAGAGAAUGAAUCUCCUUUUUAAGGGUUCGUUGGGAGCGAAGUGACCAUAUGGCAUCCCUUUCUGCACCUGCUCAGUCUCUCUCUUGCCUUUUUCAUACUACAUAUUUUUGUUUCUCAAUUUAGUGUCAGUGUCAACCAUGUCUAUGCUUUGGCCAUUCUCAUUUCCACUUUCCACUACUCUAAAAAUGUAUCUGCAAUUGAUCAGGUAAAAGUGUUUCAAUUCUCUGUCUUUGGUUCAUCUCCGUUAGUUAGUCUUAAGAGUAAGGGAGAUAAUUCGUUUUUCUUGUUUCCCUCCAUGUAUUGAUUUUUAGUUUUUUAGGGAUGCUUGGUUGGUUUGAAUGCACGAAACAUUUGCUGGUACACGAUUCAAACAGCUUGCCCAGUCAUGUUUUUCUAUUUUUUUUUAAUAUUUUGGAAUUUUGCAUGUGUGAUUUCUGUAUAUAUUAUUCUUGCCCUUUUCCUUUAUCAUCAUUUAUUUUGAUUUUGGAGAGGUCUCUUGGUUAUUUGUUAUUUGCACAUAUACAAGGGUUGAAAAUUUCAAUCCCACCUCUCUUUUAUAUUACAUUCAUUUAGUUUUGGCUGUUAUCUAAUUGAACUAUUUGAUCAUCAAAUAAUUGUGUUACCUUUUCUUCUAGAUGUUUAGAUUCAUUUUUCUCACUAUUUUAGUUUUCUUAAUGUGUGACAGUCUUUGUUUUUUAUUGAACUAUUGUGUGGCAGUCUUUAUUUAUUGGUUAUCUUUAGUUUCACUAUUGUUCUUUUUUUAAUGUUUUCUUAGUUUUUAAUAAGUGUGACAAAAUAUGAAUUAAUUUUUUUCUUUGAACAAAUGUGGAAUUUAUUUUCUUUUAAUGUAGUUGUGUCCCCAAUAAAUUUAUUUUGGCGAUUUAACAAUCCAUCAUGUUCUUUUUCAUUUUUCUGUUGUAUUUUCUUCGGUUCUUUGUUGUGGUAUGUCUAUUUUUGAGACAUUCUUAAUUUAGUUUUAUUUCUUUUAGCUUCCUGCAUCAUUUUGUAUUAUGGAUUGUUAUGAAAUUUUGAGAUUAUGCUUUAUUUUGUUUUUUGGUCCUUUGCUGUGAUGUCUUUUGAUUAUUUCUUUUGAGUGAACAGUUCAUGUAAGAUUUUCUGCAUGAGAAUAAAUUGAUUAUUUAAUUUGGUCAAAGAAGUUCAAAAUUUACAUGUGAAAUUUACACUCAGUGGCUGUAAGGUUUAAUGAGAAAAUUGGAAGUAGAAAAGAGUCCACAUUAAUUCAUUCAGCCAAGAGGGCUUGGCAUCCUAAGUUUGCUCUGGGUUCUGUUGGUGGCAUUCAUCAAUAUGUUAAUCUAUUAGGGAAUGUAUGGUUAUAACAAAGUAAGAAGAAUGGAAGUUCUGGGGGAGUAUUUGUGACAAGAGGGCAAGGAUGCUUCUGCAUCAAUUUAGUGUUAGUCAAUCAUGUCUAUGCUUUGGCCCUUCUCAUUCCACUUUCCACUACUACAAAAAUGUAUCUGCAAUUGAUCAUGUAAAAGUGUUUCAAUUUUCUGUCUUAGGUUCAUCUCAGUUAGUUAGUCUUAAGAGUAAGGGAGAUAAUUCAUUUUUCUUGUUUCAGCUAGAUGUUACCCUCCAUGUCCUGAUUUUUAAUUUGGCUUCCUAAGUGUGCUCUAGGUUCUGUUGGUGCAUUCAUCAGUAUGUUAAUCUACAGGUGAAUCUAUAGUUAUAACAUAGUAAGAAGAAUGGAAGUUCUUGGGGAGUUUGUGUGACAAGAGGGCAAGGAUGCUUCUGCAUUAAUUUAGUAUCAGUGUCAACCAUGUUUAUGCUUUGGCCAUUCUCAUUUCCACUUUCCACUACUCCAAAAAUGUAUUAUCUGCAAUUGAUCAGGUGAAAGUGUUUCAAUUUUCUGUCUUUGGUUCAUCUCAGUUAGUUAGUCUUAAGAGUAAGGGAGAUAAUUCGUUUUUCUUGUUUCAGCUAGAUAUUACUCUCCAUGUCUUGAUUUUUAGUUUUUUAGGGGUGCUUGGUUGGUUUGAAUGCAGGAAACUUUUGCUGGUACACGAUUCAAACAGCUUUCCAUGUCAGGUUUUUCUAUUAUUUUUCUUUAAUAUUUUGGAACAUGUGUAAUUUCUGUAUAUAUUAUUCUUGCCGUUUUCCUUUUUCAUCAUUUAUUUUGAUUUUGGAGAGGGUCUCUUGGUAACUUGACUUUUCUUUUAGUUUUGACUGUUAUCUAAUUGAACUAUUUGAUUAUCAAAUAAUUGUGUUACUUUUUGUUCUAGAUGUUUAUAUUCAUUUUUCCCACUCUUUUAGUUUUGUUAAUGUGUGACAGUCUUUGUUUUUCAUUGAACUAUUGUGUGGCAGUCUUUAUUUAUUGGUUAUCUUUAGUUUCACUAUUGUUCUUUCUUUAAUGUUUUUCUUAGUUUUUAAUAAGUGUGACAAAAUAUGAAUUUAUCUUUUUCUUUGAACAAAUGUGGAAUUUAUUUUUCUUUUAAUGUAGUUGUGUCCCCAAUAAAUUUAUUUUGGCGAUUUAACAAUCCAUAAUGUUGUUUUUCAUUUUUCUGCUGUAUUUUCUUUGGUUCGUUGUUGUGCGAUGUCUAUUUUUGAGACAUUUUUAAUUUAGUUUUAUUUCUUUUAGCUUCCUGCAUCAUAUUGUAUUAUGGAUUUUUUCGAAAAUUUGAGUUUGAUCUUGUUUUCUGGUCCACUGCUGUGCAGUUUUUUUUUAUGAGAUAUUUUUAUUUAGAUUUAUUAUCUUUUAGCUUGUUUUGCAUUUUGCAUUAUAGAUUAUUUUUUAAAAUUUUGAGGUUGUUUUUUUUCUUUGAUCUUUUGUUGCGGUGACAAUUUUAAUUUAGAUUUAUUAUCUUUUAGCUUGCUUGCAUUAUGGAUUGUUAUGAAAUUUUGAGAUGAUGCUUUAUUUUGUUUUUUGGUCCUUUGCUGUGAUGUCUCUCUAUAAGACAUUUUUAAUUUAGGUUUAAUAACUUUUAGCUAGCUUGCAUUGUGGAUUGUUAUGAAAUUUUGAGUUUCUGCUUUCUUUUGAGUUUUGGUGAUGCCUUUUUACGAGACAUUUUUAAUUUAGGUUAAUUUUUUAGGUUGCUUGCAUUUAUGGAUUGUUCUGAAAUUUUGACUUUCUGCUUUUGUUUUUUAUGUCAUUUGUUGUGUGAUAUUCUCUUUAUAAGAUAGAGAUAUUUUUAAUUUAGGUUUACUAUUUUUUAGCCUGCUUGCAUUUGGUAUCAUAUAUGAAUUGUUCUGAAUUUUGAGUUUCUUCUUUUUCAGUCAUUUGUUUGCGAUAACUUUUUAUAAGACAGACAUUAAGAUUUAUUAUUUUUGGACUUGUUUGUAUUUUGUAUCACGGAUUGUGGUUUUUUAAAUUCAGAGGAGGAACUAGAAAUUGUUCUUGUGAUAUGUUAAAAUCUAGUUUACUGCAAAGAAUGAAUUCUAAAACAGAGGGUAUGAAUUCGUCAAUAAUUUUUCUCCAUUUCUGCGUUGAGCAAUGUUUAGCUGAUAUGUUUGUGUAUUCUUUACAUUAGUGCAGCACCACAUGCUAAUUUAGGUGUGAAAUGCUAAUUUAGAUGUGAAACACUUCCAAAGAUGACGAGAAAUCAAAGAUUGUCGUAGUAAAAAACCUCACCAGUUUUUCCUUUCAGGUUUUUCUUUUCUUUUUCUUUAAUAGUUUGGAAUUUUGCUGGUGUGAUUUCUGCUUUUCUCUUAUCAUUUAUUUUGAUUUUGGAGAGCAACUUUGGUAAUGUUAAGGUGAUUUAAGAAAAGUUGGUUGUCCAAGAAUCAAUAUUUUUAUAUUACCUUAAAUCUUCCUAAGACAUGUUGGGUCUUUCUUUGGCCUUUGUUAGUGUCUUCUAUUAAGUCUGUUAGUUUCACUUUAGUUGGGUCUUUUUUUAAUUUUAUUUUAUCUUUUAAAUUCCAAAUCCUACUCAUUUGGUCAUGACGAUUGAAUAAUCAUUGUUAAAUUUAUUUCUUGUUGGGAGUGUAGAUUUUAUUUUCUUUUUGGCCUUUGUUAUUUGCAUCUAUACAGGGGUUCGAAAAAUUCAAACCCUUCCCUCUUUUAUUCGACAUUCUUUUAUUUUUAUUAUGUACUAUUGGAUUGUUAAAAAAAUUGUGUUACUAUUUCUUACAUUCCAUAAAGAACCCUUUCUGAUGGAUUAUUUCUUAUUGAACUGUUUUAAAAUUUUGAGUUUCUUCUUUUUCUUUUUUGGGUCCAUUGUUGGGGGAUGUACAUCUUUAAUUUUUUUUUUUUUUUAUAAGAGAUGAUACAUCUUUAAUUUAGAUUUAUUAUCGUUAGCUUGUUUUGCAUUUUGUAUUAUGUUUUUUGAAAUUUUGAGUUUCUUCUUUUUCUUUCUUUGGUCAUGUGUUGUGCGAUGUUAUUUGCAUUAGGGGUGUUUGGUUGGUUGUUUUUUAGGGGUGUUUUGGUUAGUUAGGCUUAAGAAGCAAGGGCUAGUGAAAGAGAAGCAUUUGAUUGUCCUACAAGUAAUAAGCUUCUCCUCAAUCAUUCAACCAUUUUUUUAGUAAAGAAAGAGGCUUCUCCUUUGGCAACCAAAGUCCGUCCUUGGUCAAUAUAUAUCAAAAUAAAUAAGAUCCAUCUUUGGUAAUUUUUUAAAAAAUUAAAUCUAUAAAUACUCAUUUCAUCUCUAAAAUUAUGUGAUUUGUACUUUCUAAAAUUCCCUCGAUGGUACUAAUACACUCUUAUAUUUGUAUUGUAAUUAUCAUGUCCUUUUUCUAUGGUUUUUUAAAGUUAAUUUAGAUCCUUAUUCGCUCUAGGUAUAAGUUGAAUGGAAGAGUUUUUUAGCCUUGAUAGAUCUUGAGUACCUGAAUCGCCGAUGAAACAGAGGUUAUUUUCUCGGAAAUUCCACGAAUUGUUCAGGUUUGGAUUCUGUAAUUCUGUUGUUCUUUUUUUAUUUUGGAGAGUGUCCUGGGUAAUUUUGAGGAUAUUAUUUUUUGUUUUUUUUCGGCUUGCAUUUAAUCACGCGCGUUGGGGAAUAGACAGGCUUCGGAGAAUGAAUCACCUUUUUAAGGUUUCGCUGGGGAGCGAAUUGGCCAUAAGGCAUCCCUUUCUGUUCAGUCUCUCUCUUGCCUUUUUCAUACUAUAUGGUUGUUGAUAUGGGGUUAUUGAAUGAUUGUUGCUUUUAUUUUCAUAAGAAGUGAUCUUAUAUUUUUGUCUCUCUGUGCAACUUUAAUAUGAGGUUAUUAAGGAAGGAGAUAAAGGAGGAAGAAGGGACGGAGAAAAGGAAGAAAUGACUGGAUUGUUGGGAUGGGUAUGAAGAUGCAGUAGAGCCACCACCUAGGGGCUGUAAGGUCUAAUGGGCAAAUUGAAAGUAAAAAAGAGUGCAUCCAUUCAAGCUAAGAGAGCUUGGGUUCCUAAAUUACUAUUGCUCUGGGUUCUGUUGGUGGCAUUGAUUGGUAUUGUUAAUCUACAAGGGAAUUGAUGGUGUUAACUAAGUUAGAAGAAAGGAAGUUUUGGGCGUAUGUGUGACCGGAGCACAAAGAUGCUUCUGCAUCAAUUUACUGUGAGUGUUAAACUAUGUCCAUGCUUUGGUUAUUCUAUUUUCUACUUUCCACUCCUCUCGAAAUGUAUUAGCAAUUGUUCAUGUAAAUGUGUUUCGAUUUCUGUUUGAUACUUCUCAGUUAGUUAGGCUUAAAAGUAUAGAAAUUAUCUUGAUGUCUUGAUUUUUAGGGUUUUUUUCAGCGGUUUUUGGUUUUUGGUUUUUUUUUUGUUGGAUUUUGGCUAGUUAGGCUUAGAGGUGCAAGGACUUGUGAAAGAGAAGCAUUUGAUUGACCAACGAGUAAUUAGUUUCUCCUCAAGCAUCCCACCACUUUUCUAUUAAAGAAAUACAGGUACGUCUACGCUAUUACUUUUCAUGUCCUUUUACUUAAGAUAUUUAUAUAAAUAUAUAUAAAAAUAAAUAAGAUCCAUCUUUGGUAAUUUUUUUAAAAAUCAAAUCUGUGAAUAUUCAUUUCAUCUCUAAAGUUUUGCGUUUUGUUACUUUUUAAAAUUCCCUCCAUGUUACUAUUACACUCCUAUAUUUGUGUUGUAAUUAUGAUGUCCUUUUUCUAUGGUCUGUUAAAGUUAAUUUAAAUCCUUUCUUGCUCUUGGUUUAUGUUGAAGAAAUGGAAGAGUUUUUUAGCCUUAAUAGAUCUGGAGUACCUUAAUCGCUCUUGCAUUUUGUGAUUCUGUUCUUUUUCUAUUUUGAAGAGUGUCCUGAGUAAUUUUUAGGAUUUUUAUUUUAUAGUUUUUGUCGCUUGCAUUUAAACACGGACUUGGUUGUUGAACUGGGGUUCUUGAAUAAUUGUUGGUUUUGUUUUCUGAAGAAGUGAUCUUAUAUUUGUGUAUCUCUAUGUGCAACUUUAAUAUGGGGUUAUUAAGGAUGGAGAUAAAGGAGGAAGAAUGGAGAGAGAAAAGGCAGAAAUGACUUAAUUGUUGGGAUGAGUAUGACCCCAUGUCUAGUAGUUCCCAAGUAUGAUAUAGGAAGGCAGAGAGUCAAGGCCUUGUCUGACUCUAAUAGAAUUAAGUAGCUAACGCAACACAAUAUUCUUUGCACCUUCAGUCUGUGAAUCUGAGGAGCAAGAGUUUGGCCAGAGGAGCUAGUCUCGUAACUACGGGCGCAGUUCUAGUUCUUUACAAGACAGAUGGGAACUGUAGCUAACAAGUGUGCCCUGAGUGGAUUCCUACCACUACUCUUUCUACUAUAUUGGCAGGACGGGUGCCAAGUUAUUAGUAGCUAGGCAGCUAAGCCAGUAGUAGUUCAGUUCAGGUGCUGUUCCCAAACCUAGUUGACUACGUUGUAGCGUAGCGGUACGGGACAGAAAAAGAAUUGAUAGCGGUACACUGAACACAAAGAAAUUUGAUAGACAUAUGUUGAGAGUUCGACAAGUAGCACUGAAUCUACUAUCAGUAGUGAUUUAUAGAAGUUGACUCGCUUAAACGAAGAGAGUGAACAAAGCAUAGCGGAGUGAAGAGAGAAAUGGUUUCAUUAGAUAGCUCUCUCGAUGUCCUUGUUAUCUUUCCUAGGUAGAUUGUGACUUAUUCAUUCUUUCUCGCUGACUCUAGUUUCCCCGCCGUGGAUCCUUUCUCUGUUAGGCGCUGUAAUUUAGAAUUCAGAAACGUAUCUGUCUUAUUAUCUUUGAGUCAAAGCAAUGUUACAUAUUUAUAUAGAUAAUAAGCUAAACCCUAGAGACUAUGUAAAAUUACAAUAAAGGACAUAUGUAUAUAUAUAUAUAUAUCAUAACACUCCCCCUCAAGUUGGAGCAAAUAUGUCGAUCAUGCCCAACUUGUUGCACAGAUAGCUUAUCCUUGUUCCAUUUAAAGCUUUAGUUAGAAUAUCUCUCAAUUGUUCUCCGGUCUUCACAUAUCCUGUGGACACCAACCCAUCUUGGAUUUUCUCACGAAUGAAGUGACAAUCCACCUCAAUAUGUUUAGUUCGUUCAUGAAAUACUGGAUUAGAUGCAAUAUGAAGUGCAGCUUGAUUAUCACACCAUAAUUUAGCUGGCACGGUAAUACUGAAGCCUAUCUCAGAUAAUAGUUGGUGAAUCCAUACUAUUUCACACACAGAUUGUGCCAUAGCUCUAUAUUCUGACUCAGCACUCGAACGAGAAACAACAUUUUGUUUCUUACUCUUCCAUGAAACUAAGUUUCCACCUACAAAAACACAAUAUCCAGAAGUCGAUCUCCUAUCCUCACGAGACCCCGCCCAAUCAGCAUCAGAAAAACAUUCAACUCUCGUAUGUCCAUGAUCUUUGUAUAGGAUCCCACGUCCAGGAGCAGCUUUUAGAUAACACAAAAUCUGCUCUACUGCAGCCCAAUGAUCCACUGUAGGGGAAGACAUGAAUUGACUUACAACACUUACAGAAUAUGCAAUGUCUGGUCGAGUCACUGUUAAGUAGUUCAACUUCCCAACUAAUCUCCUAUAUCUCUCAGGAUCUUUACAUAAUUCUCCUUCUUUAACAAGUUGCUGAUUUGGCAUCAUUGGAGUGCCACUUGGUUUGGUGCCUAAUUUUCCUGUUUCAGACAACAAAUCAAGUACAUAUUUUCGUUGAGACAAAUAAAUACCUUUCUUGCUUCUCAUCACUUCAAUGCCCAAAAAAUAUUUCAAUUGGCCCAAAUCUUUUGUAUAAAACUGACCCUGAAGGAAAGUUUUGAGAGACGAAAUACCCAAUGCAUCAUUUCCAGUAAUAACAAUAUCAUCAACAUAUACAACUAGUAGAACUAUACCCUUCUCAGAUCGGCGAUAGAAAACUGAAUGAUCAGAUGUACUCUUCUUCAUACCAAAGCAUACAAGGGCUUGACUAAACUUACCAAACCACGCACGAGGACUCUGUUUCAAACCAUACAGAGAUUUUCGAAGGCGACAUACUUUAUCACUCUCCCCCUGAGCAACAAACCCUGGUGGUUGUUCCAUAUAAACUUCCUCUUGAAGAUCACCGUGAAGAAAAGCAUUCUUAAUGUCAAGUUGAUGCAACGACCAUUUAUUGGUAGCAGCCAUGGAAAGAAAUAGGCGAAUGGAAGUUAACUUGGCAACCGGAGAGAAUGUAUCUGAAUAAUCAGUGCCAUAGAUUUGAGCAUAACCUUUGGCAACAAGGCGAGCCUUUAAACGAGCCACUGUUCCAUCAGGAUUCAUCUUGACAGCAAACACCCAUUUACAACCAAUGGCCUUCUUUCCUGCAGGACGAGAUACCAAAUCCCAAGUAUCAUUAUCAUCUAAAGCAGUCAUCUCCUCAAUCAUUGCAUUUUGCCAGCGAGGAUGAGACAAAGCUUCAUGAACAGAGUUAGGAAUAGAUGUGGACUCAAGAGACGUAAUAAACGCAUAUGUGGAGGGAGAUAACUGGUGAUAGGAAAUAAAGGAAGAAACGGGGUAAGUACACUUGCGUUUACCUUUGCGAAGAGCAAUGGGAAGAUCAUCACUUGGCGCUGGAUCACAUGAUGAAGGAAGCAUUGAUGGAGGACAUGAGUCUGAAGGUUGUGGUGGAGGUCGUCGGGAGUAGACUUGAGAAAUCAACGGGCGGGAAGGAGGCACAUCAGUAGACAAGGAUGGUGUGGGAGAGGUAACCUCAUAUAUAAAAAGAUUGUCAUCCUCCCCCUGACACAAACUCGAUGGUGAUGAAGUAAAGGGUGUAUCUUCAAAAAAGACAACAUCAGGCGAAACCAGAUACCUUUUAAGGGUAGGACAAUAACAACGAUAACCCUUUUGAACACGUGAAUAACCCAAGAAGAUACACUUCAAGGAUUUGGGAUCUAACUUAGUAUGAUGAGGACGAACGUCACGAACAAAAGACACAACCAAAUAUCUUAGGAGCAAUAGGAAACAAAUGCUUGGUAGGAAAAAGAACACGAUAGGGAAUCUCACCAUUAAGAACAGAGGAAGACAUUCUAUUAAUCAAAAAACAAGCUGUAGAGACAGCAUCAACCCAAAAGAUUUUUGAAACAUGCAUUUGAAACGAUAAAGCACGGGCAGUUUCAAGUAAAUGCCUAUUUUUUCGCGCAACACCAUUUUGAGAUGGAGUGUCAGCACAGGAAGAUUGAUGAAUAAUGCCAUUUUCACACAAGUAAGAGCCAAGAGAAUGAGAAAAAUAUUCACCCGCAUUAUCAGUACGCAAAGUUUUGAUAGAGACAUUAAAUUGGUUUUUUAUUUCAGUAUGAAAGGCACAAAAAUGAGAUAAUAACUCAGAACGAUUUUUCAUUAAAUAUAACCAAGUUAGACGAGAAUGAUCGUCAACAAAAGUAACAAAAUAACGAAAGCCUGUUUGAGAUACAACUGGACACGGACCCCAAAUAUCAGAAUGAACUAACUCAAAUGGAGCAAUUGCUCGUUUAUCGACUCGAGGACUCGAACUAAGACGAUGAAAUUUCGCAAAUUGACACGAAUCACAAUUUAAAGAGGACAAAGACCUAAAUUCUGGAUAAAGUUUCUUCAACACGAACAAAGAUGGAUGACCUAAACGACAAUGGACUUCAAAAGGAGAGGGAACGACAGGACACGCCACAGCUUGCGAUACUUGAUGAUCAAAGAGAUAAAGGCCUCCUGACUCAUAUCCUCUACCAAUAAUCUUCUUCGUCACACGAUCCUGAAACAAGCAAUAACCAGAAAAGAACAUGACAACACAAUUUAGGUCAUGAGUAAGUUGACUAGUAGAAAUUAAAUUAAAGGAUAAGUUAGGCAAAUGUAACACAGAAGAGAGAAAAUGAUGGGGUAAGGUGAAUAGUGCCAGAGCCAAGAACAGAAGAUGUGGAGCCAUCGGCCAAUGUAACCGAUGGAAAAGGGGCAGGGGACAACGGUCUAGAAAAUAGGUGAGAAUUACCUGUCAUAUGAGCUGUGGCACCAGAGUCUAUGACCCAUUUGGUAGAUGAUGUAAGAAGACACUUUAUAUUACCUGGGGCAACAGUGGAUGCAAUCGGAGUAGAGGAAGAUGACGCUUGUAAUGACUCUUGGUAAUUCUGAAACUUAGCAAACUCAUCUGCCGAAAUAGUAACUGACGCCUCUGGUAUAUCACAUGUGGAGGCUAUCUGAGCAUGUUGAGAUCGUUGACUAUUCUUAUAUAGCAAUUUCCGACAAUCACGUUUCAUAUGGCCUGGCUUACGACAGUAGUUACAAACAAUCUCUACAGACUCUGGUUUUCGAUGAUCAGUACUAUUCCUCUGAGGUGCCCGAGGGUUAUUGUUCUUGCUAAAGAGAGCACUACUGGGUUGAGGAAUAGACACACUAGUCGGAGAGCUUUCAAUGCGAAGGACUCGAGUGAAGGCAUCAUCUAAUGAUGGAAUCUUGGAGUCAGAGAGAAUCUGUGUCUUUGCCAUUCCAAAUUCAGGUAAGAGUCCAUUCAGGAAAAUCAUAACAGCCAUCUUCUCUCGUUGAACUUGUUGAACUUUAACAUCAGGACUAAAAGGUAACAACAAGCCAACUCGGCAAUGAUCUUCUUAAGACGCAUAAAGUAGCUGGUGACAGACUCAGCUUUCUGUUCCGCACGAGAAAAUUGCAUACAAACUUCAAACAUUCUAUGCACUUGCUCUUUACCUGAGUAUAGAAAAUCCAAAAAUUCCAAAAGUUCUUUAACAGACUCACAGUGAUCAACCAAUCCAAUUAUCUCACUCUCAAUUGAAUUCUUGAUCUGAAGAUAUAAACGGGCAUCAUCACGAAGCCAAUCCUUCUUCUGCUUUGCAUCUUUUGGGGGAUCUUCAGUCAUAUGAUCAUCCAUAUCAGUACUUCUCAAAUAAAAUAAAAUUGUCCGACGCCAAUCGUAAUAAUUGGAUCCAUUUAACUUAUGUUCUGUGAUCUUAGAGGCCAAGGGAAUAACGUUGGAGACUACCAAAUUUUUUAUGUCGGCCAUAUUGAAGUCACACGUUGAUUGUAGUCCACUCGAACAAAGAGAAAAUCAAUCCAAACAGCUGCAAAAUUGGAAAAAGACACAAAACCAAUCGUGUAACCUUCGGUUUUCGUCAAACCCGAAUGUUAUUUGAUAGACCCAAUGGUACAGACUGGCAGGAAACAAUGGUUCGAGACAAGCCCAGAAGACAGAAGACAAAUCGGACUUCUCACGCGCUCUCACGCGCCUGUGUGGAUGAAGGUGACGAUGAUUCCGGCGGCGCGUGACGGUCACGCGCGGUGUUUUCCGGCGAUCGGCGAAGACAGACUUGGGCGGACGGAGGUGGUGCUUCUUAUGGUAUGGGCGGUGUCGACAAAUGGUCACCGGAAGGUAACCCAAACUUCAAACCUAAUGGAGGGCUCUGAUACCAUGUAAUUUAGAAUUCAGAAACGUAUCUGUCUUAUUAUUUGUUAAGUCAAAGCAAUGUUACAUAUUUAUAUAGAGAAUAAACUAAACCCUAGAGACUAUGUAAAAUUACAAUAAAGGACAUAUAUUACAUAAUAAUAUAUAUAUAUCAUAACAAGGGCCUCCCCUAUCCUUAUUCAUUGAUCGCUCUCUUUGCCGCGAAUCUCGGCAUGGUGGUUCUUCGCCUCGCAAUAUUCUUUGCUCCUCCUUCCUGGGCUUGAUUGGUACAUCAAGCAUAUCGGCAUUUUGCUUCUUCGGUGUGGUACAUAUAUCUAUCAAUGAAAAGAAAGUAAUAGAAUUCAUUCCCGCGUACUCGCAUAUUGAAUUGCGCCUUCGGACCAUCAAAGAAAGGUCCAGGGUCCGAAGUCCGCUGGAUUUAUCCGGAGUCCAGAGAAUUUAUCCGUAGGACCAUCCAUAUGGAGGGAAGUAGUCCGGAGGAUGUUGGAAUUUUUUGUCCUAAAACUCGUAGUUUAUAAAUCAUAUUCUGUUCAAUAAAGUUGUUAUUGAGAAAUUAAAUAUUAUAAUCUUAAAUCCAAUAAAUCAAGUUCCAAGGCUAUUUUUGAAUAAACUUGAACUUUAUGUGUAAACAUAAACGUGGAUCAAGUUCGAGUAUAUAGCCUAAAUAGUCUAUAGUAUAUGAAAUAAAGGUUGGGUGCCUUAUUUAGGGAAACUAUGGAUGCGGUCCACUUUGUGGUACAAACGAGGUGAUCCUAAUCGUUCAUGUAGAGACAUGAAAGUGAGGGCAUUCUAUGUAAAAUGUUUACAUAAGACUGAACCAUGAAUUAGUUUUUUUUACGUUAUAACACCGUUUACUGUUUAAAACUGACUAUCUCAACAUUUUGACUUUUUACUAAGAAAAGUCAAAGUUUGACUUUUGACUAGAAAUAUCUAAUGACCAUUUUACCCUUGGACUAAGUUAGUGGGAAAAUCCAACAUUUUGUUGGAUAAUCCCACUAACUCUUAGUGGGAUAUGUGGCUAUAUGAGAUAUAGACACCUAGCCCACUAAGUUCCACUAAUUGUUAGUGGAACAUUUGGUGUUGAGAUUUGGCAAAAUGAAUUGCAUGCAUUUUUGCAUGUAAUUAGGUUAUAAAUAGAGGUGUUUUCAAAUGUUGAAGAACUUUUGCCUCUUUUAUCAUUUUCAUCAUCUCAACCAAAUAAAAAAAAAGGAAACCUUCCAAUCCCAUUUUAUCUCCAUUACUUUCUACACCAAAAUUGGGUCCCACAACCCGGUUCUUUGUCUAGAGGAUAGCAGUUGAGUACUAGUGGUGGUCUCGGUUAGAAUUGGUAAGAAGAUAUCAAACCUUUUGAAAGCUUCAAAGGUAAUAUUUCCUAAAACCCUAAUUUGAUUAAUUUAUGGUUACAUGUUAAUUGUGGCAAUUAGGGUAGAAAUUCGAUUUUUUUUCCGCUGUGCAUGACUUAGUUCUAUCAGAGGAUUUAUUCGUAGGACCAUCCGUAAUUAACAGAAAUAGGACUAUCCAUUAUCCUCCGUCCGGAGUCCGCAGGAUACUUAUCCGUAGGACUAUCCGUAAUUAACCGAAGUAGUCCUCCAGAAUUUCUGUAAUUAACCGAACUUUGCACCUCUUGACUAUGAAUCAUAUAUAUUGAUUUUGACCGGAGCAAAGAUCAUUGCCCACGGAGCGGCGCAAAGAAUAUUGCGACCUGUGGAUUCAUUGAGGCGGUGAAGAAUUGCCAUUUUAUGAGCUUGUAAAACCCCUCCGGAGGAGAAGGAUAGGGGAGCAAGGUUCAAAGUGGUUUUCAAAGUCAGAGCUAUCCCUUAUUAUUGAGGGCUUUGACCACCUGGACACUUACCUACUCAGUCGCAAGGAUCAAAGAAUUUGAUUGACAAAGAAUAUUGCGAUUUUACCGAGUCCUUCGUCUCGCAAUAUUCUUUGCGCCUUCGAUGAGUCAGGUUAAUAUGGAUAAGUCCUUCGGACUGAUAGCGUCCAAAAAAUAGGCGAGGGCGGGCGGGCUAUAAGUAGGCCGUUUGCUAUUGCUAUAAGGGCUGCUCGCCUUUAUACGGCUUGGCUUCGCUAUCGCUCAUGACUUGUAUUUGUGGUCGGCCUAAAAAGUAGUCUUCCUACCAUAAAAAAAUGCCUAUUAUCUAGUUCGUUAAGCUUCGCCAAAAGCAAGAUGAGGGCGCUUUGCUUCGUAGACAAGGCUCGUCUAGUACUUGACUUACGAGUUCGUGUAGGACUUCCCCCUCUCUCUAAAGGGGCUUAUGCACAGAACUCCUUGUCUACUAAAGAAGCGUUCGAGCGAGCGAGUUCAGCCUGAAAUUGAGUGGUCUCCCUCCUUUUCCCUCACUGAGAUAUUAUGUCUUUCAUUUCCACUUAAGCUUCCCCGCUUUGAGGGAUUAAUUGAUUGGAUACCCGAGAACCAUAAUCUUUCCUAGGAACUGCUUCUACGACGAUAGGUGUAAAGGCAUGAUUAGUUCCACAAAUCUCACUGCACUGACCAUAGUAAACUCCUUCUCAUUGUACCAAAAUGGAGAUCUGAUUUAAACGACCAGGUACAACAUCACAUUUGACACUUGAGGAAGGUACAACCCAACUAUGAGGUAGAUCAGCAGGUGUUACAAUAAUACGUAGAUGAGUUUUGGCUGGUAGAACCACUCUAUUGUCCACUUCUAAUAAACGUGAUUGACCCAAUUCUAGAUCAUCUUCUGGAAUCGUAUAACUGUCAAAAGUGAGUGACUGUUCAUCGGAACUGUUAUAGUCAGAAUACUCAUAAGUCCGAUACCAUUGAUGUCCAAUAGCUUUGAUAGUCAUGGCUGGAUCUACUACUACCUCGUCCAUUGAGUAUAAGAGAGCAAAGGAUGAUAUAGCAAUGAACACCGGAAUGAUACUAGGAAAAAUGGUCCAAAGAAUCUCGAUAGUAGUUCCAUGAACUAUCCUUUGCGGUAUUUUCUUUUUAGAAUAGUGGAAAUGCCAUAAAGCGCGAACCAAAAUCCGUGAUACGAAAACAAAAAUCAAAAUGAGGAAGAAAAAGAUAUCGUGAUGUAUGUCUAUUAUUCCUUGCAUCAUAGGUGUUGCUGUGUCUUGAGAUCCUAAUUGCCAUGGUUCCGCUGCAUCACAAGGAGCAAUUGUGAGGAAUAGCCAUUUGAGAACAAUCAUUUUCUUUGGUUUAUUCUUUGACUGCUCUGCUCCCCCCCCCAAAAAAAGAGAGACUUGUUCUUGCUCUCCCAAUGAAGGAAGACGGAAAUCGCCGGUUGGGUUGGUCCAACCAAGAAAGGCAUGGGAUGGGCAUUGCUUGGGCCGAGUUAAGUAUGGCUACCUAUUACUCCUCACUGCACACUUGAAAUAUCUCUUGAUACUCCCCCCUCUUUCUUACAACUAGUUGCUGCAUGCUAUCGGAUCUCGAGCAAUGGGAGGUUACAAUUGAGAAUCCACACUCUCAUUACAUUACAUUUUGAUGUCGAAAAGGUCUUUUGGGCAAUGAGCAUUCCUUAUGGGCGUAUCCGUUCUCUAUUUAGAGAAAUUCUUAGAGCGGUGCAGUUUAUGCAUGGCGAAAGGGAGCAUUGGAAGGGUCUUAGCUCCAGAAUAUGAAGACGAAUGAAUAAGGAAGAUCAGAUUCAAGGAAUAAGAGGACAAAGGCUCGAUAGGAGGAAAUGAAUAAGGGGUCCGACGGAGCCUUCGGAGUACUAUAAAGAGGAAAGCCUAGACUGAUCGAUGUUCUUGGUAGGAACAUCCAUAAAUCAGGGGAGGGAGAUCGAGUUUCAAACCUUUAUACACAAAACUGAAACUCAAAAUUCACUUCCUUCCUUCCGCAAGGCCGAUAUCUUUCAUAGCAGGCAAGGAUGAGUCCAUUAGGUUCUUCGAUUGAUUCGGAAAAGAAAUGAGAGACAAGAAAAGAUCUUUGAUGGAGAUGAAAAGGAAGAAUCUCAAAUAGACCAAGAUCCAAUUUCGGGUCAUUUCUUGGUGAACAUGAUCUGCCAUAAUCUCUUCGAUCCCUGAAUUUAUGUGCCAGAAUAAAGAGAGAUUUGGUAGGAAAGUGGAAGAGACCUUGUGGUAUAUAAUAAUGAGAGGGAGUGGGAAAGCUGCUGUAAUUCUUUGGAAAAGCCCGGUUCUCUUUGUCUUCGAGCUUGAAUUCCUCAAUCCACUCUUUCGUUCUUUCAUAUACCUCCCCACCAAUAGAUAGAGACAAAUAGGAAUAACCGAACCACGUCUACAAAAUGCCAGUACCAUGCAGCUGCUUCAAAGCCAACGUGAUGCUCCUUGGUCAGAUGACCAAGAUAUUGGCGAAUACCACAUACGAUCAAGAAAAGAGUACCUAUAAUCACAUGAAAACCAUGAAAGCUAGUUGCUAAGAAAAAGGUAGAACCAUAAAUACUAUCAGAAAUAGUGAAGGGUGCUUGAUAAUAUUCCAUUCCUUGAAAGCUUGUGAAUACUAGAGCCAGUGAAACGGUAGCUACUAAAGCGUAAACAACUCGUUUUUCCUUCCCCGCGAGUAUAGCAUGAUGAGCCCAAGUUACGGCUGCUCCGGAUGAAAGGAGAAUAGGGGUAUUAAGAAAAGGGAUUUCCCGAGGAUCUAAAACCCCAAUCCCUUUUGGGGGCCAAAUACCUCCGAUCUCUACCGUAGGUGCCAAAGAAGAAUGAGAAGAAGCCCGAAAAAAAGCAAAAAGGAACAUAACCUCCGAUACGAUAAAGAGAAUAAAACCAUAUCGAAGUCCUAAUUGUACGACUUUGGUAUGAUGUCCUUCCAACGUGGAUUCACGUAGAACAUCGCGCCACCAUACGAACAUGGUAUAUAGGAGAAAUAUGAGGCCCAAACUGAGAAGUCUUGCACCCCCUUGAAAUGAGUGCAUGUACAUCACACCUCCUACGAUGGUUGCCAAAUGAUAAGAAUGCCUUUGAGAUUCAAUCACAAACCACUUUGCCUCGGUUGUAUGUAAACCCCCCCUUCACCCCCACCCGCUAAAGUGGUAAAGAAGGGCUCUUUGGGGUCUCAUUUUCUUUCUAUCUGACAGGACUAAAAAAUAGGAAGGGAUGGUUCUUUCAUUGCAUUGAUAGAAGUCUAACUAGAAAAAGAUCUUGUUGCUUUGAUCGAGCCCUAGGCUUUCCUUGGAUAGAUCCCUCUAUAUUCCAACUGAUUUAUGGCGUAGAAGGCGGGAAUAGGAAUCACUCAUAUUGCAUUGAGCCUUAACAGUCCGGAGGACUAUCCCGCUCCGUGGGAUUCUUUUAGCCUCACAAUAUUCUUUGCACCUAUCCAUCCACGCAAUAUUCUUUGCACCUUCGCUCCAAAUAAAGUAAUAGCCGCAACUCAAUUCAUUCAGCCUUCGCCUAGAAAUUCACUUUGCGACCCACUCCGUAAGCCCACUACACGAGAAGAAAGAAUAUCCUUAGCUAUUUAUCUUUAUUAUCUCUUCUCUGAGAAUAUCCUCUUAUUCUACUAUUAGAAGAAUAUCCUACUUUCAGUUUCUAGUCAAAGAAAGGUCCAGGCGCAGGCGCAAAGAAUAUUGCGAGGUGCAGUCUAAUGGAUAGGACUGAGGGCUCGACUGAAAGGAGAGAAGGCGCAAUGAAAUAUGCGAGGUCCAUAUUCCGACUGAGGAACUGAAACUUCCGCGUAGUGCUUCCCUUGUUCAUUGAUAGUAAUCCUGAAGUUUCUUCUUGGCAUCAAAAUAGAUCAAUGAAAGAGGACUAAAAAUAAGACGAAAGUACUUAUGACGGCUUUCCUUCCCAACAAAUCUUCGUUCUUAGUUAUUUGAUUCCACUUUCAAACUUUCUGGGAGUUGUCUUCUCCUAGGCUUUCUUCUUUCUGGCAGUCUUCUGCCUUGCCGUAGGGAGUAGGUUCAGGAGAACCAUAACCAUAAAUCAGAGAGACGGAGGCAUCAAUCACGCAAUAUUCUUUGCACCUCUUCCUUUAAGCUAUAUUUUUUAGGCUCCGGAGGCUCAAAGACAGGGAUAUUGUUGAAUACUAUUAGUUCGAGUCGCAGAGAGCAAAGAAUUUUCUCUUAAUGGAACUUAGCGCGGGUUAAUAUGGAUAGGACUGAGGUCUUAAGACUCCUAACUAUUAAUGGAAAGGACCCACGGAGCGGUGCAAAGAAUAUAUAGAAGGGCAGACAGGUCCGGAGGACCUGUCUGUCCUUCGGUCUUAAUACUCCUAACGUCGAAUAAGAAGCUGGAGGCUGGGUCCAGGUGCAAAGAAUAUUGUGUCCAUUAGAUCCAUUGAAUUAGGCGAAGGAUUUUAUCAAGCUUAGCUUUCUGGAUUCUUCGGCGGAGUGGGGCUUUCUCUAGUAGGUCUGGAGGCUCAAAGAAUGAUCAAAGGCUCCGAACCAUAAAGAAGAGAGUCGGAGGACAUCCAUUGACUUUUUCUUCCUUUCACUUCUAACUUCAAACCUUUCAUAUUCAACCUUGAAAAUAAAGGAGGGAGCGGACUACGGAGGCCAUAAGUUUGAGUUCCUCAGAUGUAUAAAAACAAGUCCUCCGGACGACCUAUCCACUGAAAGUAGCUACGUAGUCUUGUCUCCUUCCCCGCGUAGUGGGCAUUGACUUCUUCAUUGAUUUUCUUCUAUCUCCCACGUAGCGGUUGAAUAUGAAAGGAAGCCCACAGAGCUGAAGAUGGAGCGGGAUAAUAAAGAAGAAAGCUCAAAAGGAGGGAGCGGACCUCAAUGAACAAGGGGAGGACUCGUUUUCAUCCUUAUGGAAGAAAAAUCUCUUUUUUUUAUCUAAAAGACGUAGAAGGAGGCUCAAUGUCUAAUCUUUCUCUCAAAUCAAUAUCCCCAGUGCAAAUAUUCCAGCAAUAUUCUCAAUAUGAAAAGAGCCUUUCUUCUUUUCUUAGAUAAAUGCGCUUCGUAGAUUAUGCUGAAGGAGGAGUGGGCCAUGAUCUUUGCUCCUUAAUUUCCCUAAUGGAUAGUCAUCUGGACCUUUCUUUUUAGUUCUUUGCGCUCGUCAACGCAUAUUUCAUUGCGCCUUCGCCUUCAAUGAAAUCCAUAAAUAAAUAAGGGUAGAUUUCAGACUCAAGAGGAGGGUUCCUUAUCAAUAUCAAUGAGACGGAUAGGCUUUCUUUUACAUUCCACAGGUCCGAAGGACUAUCCAUAUUAACAUGUCUGUCCUUCGCCUAACUAGUUCAUAUAGACCUUUGUUUUUCUUCCGCAGUCACUAAUAUGGAUAGUCCGGAGGACCUCCUUCAGCAUAAUCUAUGAAUGAUCGGAGCAAAGAAUAUUGCGGAAAAGAAGAAAGGAGUGCAAGCGAAAAAUAAUGGAUUGAAUAGUCCUUCGGACGAACUACCGCACUUGGGGGAUAUUGUUGAGAAAGAAUAUUGAAAAAGAAUGAUCGAAGAAUAUUGAAAAAGGACGGAGGAUAGGCUUUCUUUGAACAAUGUGGAUGUAUCAAAGAUUCCACAGGUUAAUAUGGUAGAUUUCAGACUAGUCCUUCACCUUGGAUCUGGGGACUAUUCUCUGUUCUAAUAGACAUAGAGGAGAGGUUCAAAGAAUAUUGAGAAUACUCGUGCAAGCGCAAUCAAUGAACAAGGUGAAAAGAAUAAAAAAAAGGCGGUCGAUGAUCAGGAAGAAAAAGUCAAAAGUCUAUCCCAUCUUCUUCGUUAGGCGCAAAGAAGAAAAACAAGGUGCAAAGAUCUAUGGCCCAAUUAUAAGGGGUCCAGAUGCACCAUAAGACUGGUCCGAAGGACUAUCCAUAUUAACCGGAGUCUUCAACAAGAUUUCCAACCCUGAAUAUUAAGCUACUGAGGCCCAAUAUUGCGAAGGAAGAACUGCGCCAUAAGACAGGUCCGAAGGACUAUCCAUUAGGGAAUGAGACGGAGGUAACGUUUGGUUUUUUGGAAAACUUGUUGGUCGCGGAUUAGUGCGUUUUUUUUGGAAAGUAACAAUUCUCUUCAGUUUGGUUUCAGAAAACUUGUUGGUCACGGAUUAGUGCGUUCUGCGCCGCCUGGUGUCACGAACAUAUUUUUCCAAAGUGUGUUUACCUUUGGUUAUAUGCUCCGAUUACCCCCAGUUUAUCUCAUCUUUAGUUUGCAUAACUAGUUUAGCUGAUUGCUUUUCAUUCUAGGUCAUAAAGCUUGGGUGUGACGUUUCGGCAUUUUCAUAUGCAAGCCUGCCAGAGAGGAAAAUGUUCAAAAUGUACUAUAGGGGAGGCAUACCAGUUGAAUCCCCGCCCAAGCAUUAGUUGUACUCUUUGCAAGCAACCCUUUUUCCUUGCAAUUGACAGUCUUUAAUGCUUAUUGUAACGUCUAUUUCAAUGUAUUUCUUUCUUUCCCGUGUUUUAUAAAUAAAAUGUCCCUAAAACGCAAACGAAGGUUACGACAUACAUCGACGUUACCCACAACUCUUGGAUAUUGAUCGACUGACUUGUUCAUCGAGUUAGAACAAGUGCCGCACAAUCGUCCGUCUCGAGGUUGAAACGCUACGAUUGUGACAAGUGGUAUCAGAGCCAAAGUUGGCUGAGUGACAGUUUUGACAAAAAUAAAAUGUCGACUGCAAAACGAGCGAGCAAGACCCAUGAAGAACGGUUGGUGGGGAUCGAAGUGCAGAUGCUCCACCUGAUGGAAGUUCCUGAUUCCAUCCGGUUCUUGGAAUAGCGGCUUGAGGAUAUUGCCAAGAAAGCUGAUGGCAUUGAAGCCGUGUCCGGUCGCCUUGACGGACUACCCAUCCAAGAGUUACUGACUAGAGUCGACACUCUAGAGUCCCGAGUUAUGAGAACGGGAAAUGUCACCUACGAGCGUGGGGACAGUUCAUCGGGCUCUGUUGCCCAGAUGGAAGAACGAGUUAUGGAGCUUGAUAACUCGCAAAAGAACAUGUUGGAGAUGAUCAGCGCAUGACAAAGGAUUUUCGAGCAACCCUCGAUGUCGUGAGGAAUGAGCUCGCAGAGGUAAGCACGAGGGUGAACCUUACUAUGCGAGCACUAGAAAAUCAGGCUCUAGCUGGAGGAGCCAUUCCUGUGGGCAGAAUCAAGAUUCCUGAGCCCAAGCCCUUCUGUGGGGCGAGAGAUGCCAAGGCGUUGGAAAACUUCAUCUUUGAUGUCGAGCAGUAUUUCAAAGCCACGAACACAAUUACUGAAGAGGCCAAGGUGACGUUGGCAACCAUGCAUCUGUCAGAAGAUGCGAAGUUAUGGUGGAGGUCCCGAUACAUGGACAUUCAAGAAGGGCAUUGCACAAUCGACACGUGGGAUGCCCUAAAAGGAGAACUCCGUUCGCAAUUUUCCCUGAGAAUGUCGAAAUUCUGGUCCGACGGAAGCUGCGUGAAUUGAAGCACACGGGGAACAUUCGGGACUACGUGAAACAGAUUGCGGGGGUAAUGUUGGAUAUACGCGACAUGAUCGAAAAAGAUAAAAUAUUCAGCUUUGUUGAAGGGUUGAAGCCAUGGGCAAGGACUAAGCUAUACGAGCAGAAAGUCCAAGACCUCGUGUCAGCCUAUGCAACAGCUGAACGUUUGUUUGAUCUGUCUAAUGACGUUCAAGAGACAAGACAUCAUUGAAGCUCUUCACCUGGAAGAGACAGAAACAGCCGACUGAAUUCUCCCGAAGCUGUCAGUAGAAAUAAAAGUCCCGGCAGAGACCGCAAGCCCUUCCAGUCAAAUACGGGGAACACCAGGCAAAGGCCCACUAGUCAAAGGACCUCCCACACUCCUAUCAGUUGCUACAUUUGUAACAGGCCACAUCGGACAAGGGAAUGUCCGGAUAAAGCGGCCUUCUACGCCUUCCAGGCCUCUCUGGCUACAGACUUAGGUGACAAGUUGGGUCAACCAGAGAAUGAAGGUGGGUAGGUGGAGGAAGUCCAAAACGUUAGAGUAGGGGCCAUAAGACUCUUGUCGUUCCUUCAGAAUAAAGCAGGGGAGACAAGUGGUCGUACAAAAGGGGGCCUAAUAUAUGUGGACACCUGGAUCAACCGAAGGCAUGCAAAGAGCACUAUGGUUGACUUCAGUGCAACCCAUAAUUUUAUAACGGUGGCGGAAGCCAGACGAUUGAACCUUCACUAGAAGAAGGAUACAGGAAAGAUGAAGGCCGUAAAUUCUACAGCUUUACCCGUCGUCGGAGUAGUGAAACGAGCGGUGAUACAGUUGGAAAGAUGGAACGGCCUUGUUGACUUUGUGGUUGUGGGCAUGGAUGACUUUGAUGUAGUUCUCGGAAUGGAAUUCCUUCUUGAACAUCAAGUGAUCAUGAUGCCUGCAGCCAAAUGUCGGUGAUCACGGGAUCUACCCCCACCGUUAUGCAGAUACCCCCACCAUUAUGCAGAUAGAACUCCGGCAACCCAAAGGAUUGAGAAUGGUCUCGGCCAUGCAACUGAGGGAGGGCCAUAUUCAGGAAGACACAAGGCGUGUCGUGGAGAGACGUUGUGAUGGGAAACAGGAUAGUUUGCCCAUGUCAGAAUCGCCUACGAGAAAUGAUCAUCGUAUGGCGCAAUCAAAAUCAUCUGGACUCAGGAGACAGUCAAGGAGACUGUCAGGUGCAGGAUCCACUAGACCUGCGAGAGAUCCGUAUCAAGCACAAGACUUCUUACGGAAGGAAGAGAAUGGACAAUUGUGUGUCAACAACCGUGUCCUAAAGCAAGCCCCGAGGAGAGGGCCAACUUUUGAGUCCGUGAGUGGGACUCAGCCUGUUGAAGCUUACGCUAAGGCAUAUGGUCCUGUGUCAGGUGGCAUCCUAAUGCAGAAUGGACACCCUGUCAAAGCUGAGAGUCAGAAACAAAGUGCCGCAGAAGGUAGUUAUACGAUGUUUGGAAAAGGAAUGCUGACCACGAUACGUAGUCUGAAGGAUGGAAGACAACAUUCCCAGGGGUCUACACAUGGAAGAGAGACGAACAACAUUGCGACCAACCGCUUUGAUACUCGGCCGAAGUGGGCUUUGAGUCAAGAAAAGUGGCAGAGGGACGUGUCAAGGGAAUCCUUGCAGAAAAACUCUGUCAUUGAAGUUGAUGUAAGUCUGGCGGAGACCAGUCAGGUGGAAGAAAAGAAUGGAGUUCAAUUGUGGAAGCUAACCCAAUCUUAUGUUAAUGCUGCAAUGAGUUCGUCAAUGGAUGGAAACCAGUUUGUGGGUGUUUGUGGCGGACAUUCUGUACAGUCCCGCCUUGUUGGUCCCUCCUAUGUUGGUAAGAAUCCUCAAGCUUGCAACAGUACCAAGAGGUGGAAGCUGGAGUCAGACAUCGUUCGGACCGAUCGAGAGGAAGCCUCGAAGUGGCCAGAAAAGUGGGCAGAUAAGAAGCAUCGCCUCCGUGAUUCCCGUGGGGAGACCAGGUCAUCGUCAAACGGCGAUCUGAACUGACUCCGUUUUUGAAGAAGACUUCAAGAUCACCGCCUCAUGAGAGAACGCGAGGGACAAACAGAAGUUCAAGAAGUCCUUGCUAAAGAAGCAAGGAAAGAAGAAGAAGACCCAUGGGGGAUACACAAGUUCGUGGUGAAGCAGAGGAGCCUCCUCAUGGAAGAAGCCUGUGGAAGACGUACCAAGACUGUGAAGCGUGGAGGUAGAAGAUCGAAGGAUUCCAGCUUUGCCAGUCGACGGGGACGUCAACUGUUUAAGUGGGGAGUGUGUCACGGACAUAUUUUUCCAAAGUGUGUUUACCUUUGGUUAUAUGCUCCGAUUACCCCUAGUUUAUCUCAUCUUUAGUUUGCAUAACUAGUUUAGCUGUUUGCUUUUCAUUCUAGGUCAUAAAGCCUUGGUGUGCGUUUCGACAUUUUCAUAUGCAAGCCUGCCAUAGAGGAAAAUGUUCAAAAUGUACUAUAGGGGAGGCAUACCAGUUGAAUCCCCGCCCAAGCAUUAGUUAUACUCUUUGCAAGCAACCCUUUUUCCUUGCAAUUGACAGUCUUUAAUGCUUAUUUUAACGUCUAUUUCAAUGUAUUUCUUUCUUUCCCGCGUUUUAUAAACAAAAUUUCCCUAAAACGCAAACGAAGGUUACGACAUACAUCGACGUUACCCACAACUCUUGGAUAUUGAUCGGCUUACUUGUUCAUCGGUUAGAACAAGUGUCGCACAAUCGUCCGUCUCGAGGUUGAAACGCUACGAUUGUGACACCGACGGCCACAUAGAAUUGAGAAAAGCCUAUGGUUGAGGCAGCAUUAAUUUAUGAAACUUUACACGUGGGAAGGGAUGACUCUUUCUAUUCAAACCUGUAAACAUAGAAGACCGCCUCAAUGAACAAGGGAUCAUUCACAUAGAAUAAAUAUGAACAACGAGAAAGGGAAUAUAAGGUUUGAAUUCAGAGGAAAGCCUAGCUUGAAUGAACAAGGUGAAAAGAAUAUUGACAGCUGCACUUACGAGUCUUUCAGUUACCUUUCUGCCUCUUUAAAGAGAGUUCAAGGUUUUCUAUUAUCGGAAGAAUCAGAAUAAGAAGAAAAUAGAGGAAGACAGAGAGAAGAGAGCUCAGGAGGCGCAAUGAAAUAUGCGUGAGAAGCGCAUUUCCUUAGUGGAAUACUUUGAUAGCGGAAUAAGAAGUCGGAGGCUCGGUCAAGACGAUCUUUUGAUCUAUUCUAAUGGUCUCUAAUGGAUAGUCCUUCGUUUUAGAGUCCUACAGAUAAAUCCUCCGGACUGGUCCGAAGGCUAGGUUCAUACGGAUAGUCAGGAGGACGGUUAGUUGGAGCCUUGUUUUUCGAAAUCUUCUUUGAGCCUCAGUCGUCUCAUUGAUAAGGACAUCUUUGCAAAUGAAGAGCGGGAGGUGCAAAGUGCGGCUAUUACUUUGAAAAGAAUAGGAGCUCCGCGGUUUGAAUUGAAUAAAAAGGAUAGGCUGAAAUUCAAAGUGAAUAAGAGGAUAUUUUCAGAUAUAAUAUCUAAAGUCAAUGAACAGGGGCUCCUAACCUCUGAUUUAUGGGGAGCCUACUACGUCCAUUAGUUCCGAACUUGGCUCCACUCCUAGUAGUUCGAACUUGGCUUUGCUCCUUCGCUUUUUCUCUUAUUGAUCUCUCUUGUAAUGCUUUCUACUAAGAAUCAAGAAAGCGCAACUUCUAUUUUGUCCGAACGACCUUGAUUAAAAAACGAUGCUUCCUUGGUCGUGUAGAACAUGGAUUAGCAUUAUUUCAUUCCUACAAGCGAUCCCCCAUCCAGGAUUGGAAGAAGUGCUAUAUGAGGACUUUGAGAUCAAAUAGAAUAUAUUUCUUUCAAGACCUCGUGAGCCACUUAUUUCUCUGAAACAAGAGAGAAAAGUGAUUUUCCUCCUUUUUCUCAAUAAGUCGACGACCUUACACCAUUGGGAUACUUCUUCUUUGAAACUAGAGUACAUAUAGGAUACACCGGUGCUAAAACCUUUUCUCAAAAGAUCUUCCAAACUGUUGGGGUCCUUGCUCCGUAUGUUCUUCCCCCGGUGUGAAAGCAGUUGGUUCCAUAGUUUGAGAAUUCUACUACUGAUCCCAAGUACUCCAUCUCCAUCAUUGCAUAUGGGAAUAUAGAAAAGUCAAGAAGAAAAGGCAUGAGCAGAAGAAUUGUGUGAAAUAAGUCAAUUUAUCCAAUUGAGGCAUUCUUUCUUUUUCUUAAGAAAAUUCCCUCUAGACAUAAAUCCUUUCUGUACGAGUAGUGAAGAACUAUAGAGAGUAGUGGUUGGUUGUUGACCAACAAAAAGCAUGGGAGAAAGAAAGAUGUUGGCAAGGAAGCAUCAAAAUAGAUCAAUGAAAGAGGCUCAAAGAAUGAUCGAGGACUAUUUUAGUCCGACUAGAAACUAGGGAAACUAAAGACUAACGAAAUCUAGAUGAGAAUCCGUACAAUUAGUCUCGAGAAAAAGAAGAAAGCAAUAAAAAAAGUGAAGACAGAAAAUGAACCGAAAAUCUUCUUCUCUCAUAUUGAAUUCAUCCUUCUACGCAUCUCCAUGGGCUCGACUGAGAGUGGAGGAGAGGACGGGAAGAAUGAGAAAAAUAGUAAGGCGAGAAGACAGGUUCGAAGGACUAUCCAUCAGGGAGUUUGGACCCCGUAGUUAGGAGCAAAGAAUAUUGCGAAAGAGUCAUAAUAGGUACAAAUCUUCUUAUAGAUUAUGUUGAAGGAGGCGGCGCAAUUCAAUAUGCGAAAGUCAUGAUCCCUUUAAAGCAGACGUUAGGCGCAAAGAAAGAAGCUCAUUAACGAGAAUGAAAGAAUAAUUCACUCAUUAACGAGAAUGAAAGAAUAAUUCUGAUUUCAUCACCUUGUUUUUACGGAGUUCAAUACUAGAUUGAAGACGGAGGGAAAUCCCAGAUUUUGCUAGGUUUUGGGCCUAUAAAGUAGCAAGAAAUCAUGAAAAAUCAGUCAAAAUUAGACAAUUAUCGUAGCAUAUCAAUAUGAGAAAAAGUAUGAAAAAGAAGCAAAAAAGUCGGGAAAUAGCAAUUCAAGAAGAAAGCCUAGGACAGGGAAAAGAAAUGAACACUUCUAGUUUGAGUUUAUGGUCCGGAUACUGACAGGUCUAUUCUUUAUUCCGCUCCUGAAUAUGGAUAAUCCUACUUCGGUUAAUUACGGAUAGUCCUCCUUCGGUUAAUUACGGAUGGUCCUACGGAUAAAUCCUCCAGACUACUUCCUUCCAUAUGGAUGGUCCUACUUCGGUUAAUUACGGAUGGUCCUACUUCCAUAUGGAUAGUCCUACGGAUAAGAAUCCUGCGGACUCCGGACUACUUUGGUUAAUUACGGAUGGUCCUACGGAUAAAUCCUCCGGACUCCGGAUAAAUCCUGCGGACUCCGGACGUACGACGUAGGAUAAAUCACCUGGACCUUUCUUUGGCACUACGGACUACUUCGGUUAAUUACGGAUGGUCCUACGAAUAAAUCCUCCAGACUCCGGGUCGUAAGACGUAGGAGAAAUUCCUGCGGACUCCUUCCUUCCAUAUGGAUGGUCCUACGGAUAAAUCCUCCAGACUACUUCAAUUAAUUACGGAUGGUCCUACUUCCAUAUGGAUAGUCCUACUUCAAAUGGAUAGUCCUCCGGAUAAAUCCUGCGGACGUAGGACCCUGGACCUUUCUUUCUUUAAUGGAUAGUCCUCCGGAUAAAUCCUGCGGACGUAGGACCCUGGACCUUUCUUUGGCACUCCGGACGGAUAAAGAAAGGAUAAAUAAAGGCGCAAAGAAUAUUGCGAAGCGAAGCGCAUUUAUCUAAGAAAAGAAGAAAGGAUAAAUAAAGGCGCAAAGAAUAUUGCGAGAGCGGGAAUUACCUUUUCUCUUCGGGUUAGCUAAGAGUUGCCGGAGGCUUGAAGUCGGAUAAUUACUUUUACUUAAAGGUUUCACAAACCUGCAAAAUCUUCUCCAAAUUAGCGUUAGCGUUCUGAGCUAGCCAAGCAGUAUAUUUAAAAUAUAGAAAGAAGAAAAAUCCAUGCAAUCUAAGUACACUAAGAACCUACAGCAUCGUCACCGCUGCGUGGGAAGGUUAAUUCUUCUAACUCUGGUAUUAUCGUUGAACAAGCAGUUCACAUCCGACUGCCCGCGUAGUGGGGGAAGCUCGCUCGCUAACUUUGCACUUCGGCCAAAAUGCCGAAAAAAGGCUAAGGCCGAAGGAGGUCUGACUCCUUCGCUCAAGGAAGAAUUGCCCGAUUGGAUAUAUAUCUUGGUGCGGAGAGAGGAAAGGAUCACGGAAGCCUCAGUCUCAGUACGAAAGGGGCAAAAAGCUGGAAAAAGCAUACUGGCUUCACCUUGCCCUAGGAUGGGGUCCGCCGGAUCUUUUAAGGCAUAGGCUUAAUGCUGAGACGCACGGGGAUAUCCGGUCCAGGAUGGAUAUUCAAGACAAGGACGAAGGCUCUCCGUCACGCAAGAUGAUUACAAGUCUUAGGAGUGAACUUCCGCUUUACCCCUUCCGGUAUCAGGAAGCGAAGGGCAGAGAAAGCGAGCGAGAAAACAUAAAUCAAGGCGGUCGAUGACUUAAAAUAGGCAAAAAGAAAAGACAGAAAGCCUACGGGUUUCUCGGUUUACCCUUCUUUUAGGAUAGAAAAAGGCACUGCCUGUGUGACCACUACAAGCGGACGUGACGAGCGACGCAGGGCCACCCACGACCGCUAGCAAUACGAGGUAAAGCGGCCAGAAAGCAUACCAUAGGAUGCGUCCUGAGGGCAUUCACAUAAACAUUCUUCGAAUUGUUCACAUUCGGCGGGAUGUUCUUAGCCUUGUCUCCAGGUGAAUAAUUGAAUCGGCACCGGCGAUCGGACCUAUUGCAGCCUUCGGUUGACUGGUGGCAUUCGAUGGUAUGCUUGAGGCCUUCCCAACCCGCUCCGUGUAAAAGAGGUAGAAGGAGGCUCAAAGAAUUAUCGAAGAGCAAGACGAAAGAAAAUAGCGACUUCCAGUCGGUGAUGGGAAAUCUCAAUGUUAUCGCAGAUUCAAAGGCGCAAAGAAUAUUGCAUUGAGGCUCGACUGAAAGGAGAGGCGAAUUUGAGAAGAAAGAACUAUAUCGGCUAAAUACUCAACUGCCUCAGACGUCACUGGGACAAGAGCCGGAGAUUCCGAAACCUCUCGCAGCUUCUUUGCUUCCUCUGGUCUCGAUAUUUGAACCGCCUCAAUAAACAAUAAAUAAGGGUCCAAAAAAUCAAGGUCAUCUUCAAACCCUUUUUUUUAUGCGCCUCAGUCCUAUCCAUUAGAACGUCGGCCCUCACCCUUUUUCUUCUUAGUGCGCGCUUGAGCUUUAGUCUUCUGAGUUCUCAAAUUCUUUGACCCUCUGUCUCAGUAUUCGGCAGAGAUGCUGAUGUUAACAAGAAAUGCAGGCUGAAUGUUGUAUGGAAGGAUGAUCAUUUCGGCUUCUUGUAGCCAUUGAUGCUGUCUAAUGCUUGGAGAGACAUUGUUUAAUGUGACUUUGGACAAGGUUACUGAAGAUAGAACUAUCUGGCCUCAGAGGUCAGUUUUCAGUUGCUAAGACAGUGAAGCUCUUUCAUCUUCCUGGUAAUACUGUCCCUUGGUUCAAGCUUCUUUGGGGUAAGAAGCACAUCCCUAGUCAUGCUUUUCUUUCCUGGAUGGCUAUGAAUAAGAGUCUGAGAGUCAAAGCUAAACUGUACAAUCUUUAAGUGCUUUCGUCUGAUUUUGAGGUUUGGAAGCAAAGAAGCAGAGCGGAGUUUGAUUCCUUAUAUCAGAAAAAGAUAUAGGAAGACUCCCAGAAAGAAGAAAGCCUAGGAGAAAGCAAAGAAAGAGUAAGGAUCAGAAAGCUCCUAACCCCUAUUUAUUUAUGGAUGUGAAUUGAGCGAAGGCGCAAAGAAUAUUGCGAAGGUUCAAAGAAUAUUGACUUGAUAAACCUCUAUUUAGCUUCUUAUAUCUGAAGACGAUAAAGUCAGAUAAUCAGCCUCCGGCUGGGUCGGAUCGUCCAUACCUAGUUGAGUAUCUUGUCCGUCAUAACGAAGUCACUCUUUGAAAAAGGGUCGGGCUUUGUUGGAGUUGACUCGGUGAGUACACUUUCAUCUUUACGAGAAGAAGCGCGAACAACAACUAUAUUAUUCAGCAGAGACCUGAUUUACCCGAUGAGUGGAACGGCUCGACAAAAGUCUUAGGACUCGGGACGACGCGCCUCCUUCCUGCUAGAACUCAUAGGUCUACGGGGUUCUUUCGGUAGCGAGAAUAGUGGUCCCAAACGGAAUAGAAGUACUUUUGAUUCACUGAAUCGGAAUCUUUGAAAGAAGAAAGGGGGACGGAGGAUCAAUGAAAUUUGAUGAUGAUGAGUAAGCUCUUGCUUUUCUUGCUCCUCUUUCUGAAGUUGCGAGAGGUUCAAAGAUCCUUAUCAAUGAUUGGAGUGGCUGUUCCGGUUGCAGACGUUGCUGUUGGAGUAGAAGCUGUAGCCCUUUCGGUGAGGUGCGAAUGCUCGACCUCGACCCAUUGGCAUUAGUUGAGGAUGCACCAUCCCUGAUUAUUUUUUAGGAGAAAGCCUCUUUCGUCGGGUUCAAGGGAAAAGACUAAGAAUGAGGUCCCCUCCCCCCAGUUGAGGAACGAGGGCAAAAGCGAAGCCUAUGAAGUGAGUAUGAGCUCGCUCGACCCCCACGUAGCGGGAAUAGCACCAUCUUCUCUCUUUCAUGAGUAGUUCACUGCACUCAUUAGUAGCUGGACCAAGAGGUUAUUCUCUCUAUGAUCUCCUGGACUGGAAUAGCGCUCUCCCCAUAGCAAGAGGGAGCUCGACGUAGUCGGUCUUUCGGCAGUCACAAUAAUUAAGAGAAGCAGCUGCUCGGGAGAGGGAGGUAUCAGAUGCACGAAGAGAGGAUUGGUCGAAUCGACUGUAAGAAGAGGCAUCUGUUCUUGUGGCUGUAGCAGUUGCAGAAGUUGAAUCGUCUGUGGCUGUUCUUGUUUAAGAAAUAGCUGCAGCUAUUCCCACCAAGGCCUGACGAUAGGCUGAUUUCAGGAUUUCCUAUCCAUCCUCAAAUUCUUUGAGCCUUUGUUACAAGAAAAUACUCUUUAGUGACUCAAGAAUGACCCUGUCUUAUGGCACCUCUCAUCUGGAGCCUUUGUUUUUGAAACAAGUCAAAUUCUCUAAUGGAUAGGCCUGAAUUCAUGAAUAUUGAAUUGAACCUACUAAAAUCAAAGGAAUAAAGAAAGAGCUCAAAAGGAGUCAAAAUGAGAAGUCCGAAACCUCAUCACCUACUCCCGGAGGCAAGGUGAAAUUCAAUAUGACGAAGUCUUAUAGUUGGGUCUCAUCCCCCCAUAAUCAAGUAGCGUCCACUAAAAAGAAGCGGAGCGCGGAAGGACGAGGCGCAAUGAAAUAUGCCUUGAAUGAAUCUACCCUUUUUAGACUCGACUACUCCGCUACGUGGGCUUACUAGUAAUGCUGAAGUUUCCUCCUUUUCUAGCUUUCUUUCUAAUGCCCUUCUUUAUGGUCAAUGGUCACUUCCCCGAGGCGCGGAUCCCACUACACGGGAAUAUAUUAUGAUAUAAUGAACUAUCUUCUUUCUAAUAGCUAGUUUCAACAGCCACCGGGGAGGAGACAAGAACUCAAUCUACUGAAACAAGGGUUUCAACCACAGCGAGAGCAGACCUCAAAAAAAUAAGGAAGAAAAAGAUAAAGGCGCGAAGCGAAGCCUAUGAAGUCAUAAGGGCAAGGGCUUUCCGUGAACUUUCUUAUGAUGGGAAAUCCUUGUUUUCAUUUGCGAGACACAUUUCAUUCGUAGAAAUACCACUUCCUACUUCCUCAUCCCGACAAUAAAUAAAGCACUACGCGGGACAAAGUAGAUUCCCAAACUUAAAAGGAAAGACUAAAAUCAAAGCUCCAGAUGAGUUGAAUUGAGGUGCAAUGAAAUAUGCCUUUCUGCAGUGUGCGAAUUCGCUCUUUCGGCUGAUAACCUUUCGAUCCAGAAAGCACUACGCGGAAGUUCCCCACUACGCGGCGUGAAGUGACUGCCCACUUUUUGAAAAGAAAUAAAGAGCGCAGAACAAGGUUCAGUUAAGCUUGAUAAAUCAGUCCUUCGCCUAAGAAUAAGGUGAAAAGAAUAUUGAACUCAUGAAAUCAAUAUCCCUGUCUUAUGGGGCCUUUGUAGCUUAAUAAUGGGGAUCUGGUUCAAUUAUAAGGCUCAAAGAAGAUUGAGAAAGAAUAUUGCAAAAUCAAGGCGGCAAAGAAAAGGUGAAUAGGGAUUCGUACGAUUAGACUUGACUGAGAAUGGAAUUGCUUUAGCUAUCUUUUUUUUUCCGUCUUUCAAGGUGGAAGCUAAAUCAGAAUAGUUUCUAGUUGAAGGCAAGCAAGCUAGGGUUGGUUCGUAUUGACAAAGAGCUGGACUUCUAAACUUUCAAUGGGUACUGGAGUACUUUCUUUGUCAAUCGAUGCUUAAUACUAUCUUUACGCAAAUAAAGGCCGAAGAAUGAGGCUAAGUCUUCUAUUUAGUGGUCUCGCAAUAUUCUUUGCACCUUGCUGAUCUCAUUUCAAAAAUGCUUCGCCUGCCUCUUCUUUGAUUCCGUGCACGAGUAAGUACCCGUAAAUCGUAAAGAAAGAGGGGGGUAGUUACCUGCUCUUUCAUCGAGAUUGGCGAAUUACGGUAGAAGAUAGAAGAGGUUCGAGGAUCAAAGUAUUUGAGCUUUGCUAUUACUUUCAUGCUCCUCUUAGAAGGAAGAUAAGCACGAUAAGCUGGCCUAUAUCAUUGCUUAAUUCAUGCUUUCUUCGUACUUCCGGAAAGAAAUCUCACUCAUUUCAUUCUAUCACAUAAUGAGAACUCUAGAAAAGAAAUUGCUUACUUCAUGCUUUCUUCGUAUUUAUUUAAGGACCCAAUCCAUCUUUUGUCUAUGACGAUCGGUACGAAAGGAAGGCAUGCUCGCAGGGGAUUCUUAUUACUAAUAGAUGAUAAGAUAAUACGAGAAUGAAAGAGGUCGAGCGCCUCACCUCUGAGUCUGAUUGUUGGAAGUAUGAUGACUCCCACUGGUCGUCUUUCAACUCAUUAAAUCCCCCUAUCUUUUAUGGCGGUCUUACCGGAAUAUCUACUUUAUAGAAUUCCUAUGAGACUAAGAAAACAAACUGAGACCUCGUAGUCUUCCUGUUCCCGGUCGAUCCUAUGAUCGAUCUCAUACAAAGAUCUUCUAUGAUUCGACUAAAAAGACUCUUUCUUCUUAGUUUGAGCUUGAGGCGCGUCCAACCCACUACGCGGUAAGCUUUUCCUCUUUUCCUCUCACUUCAAGACUCAAGACCUUACCCGCACCGAGUCAAUCCGAUCGCUACCUUUCCAGGUCGUAUUCUAGUAAUUAAUUUCAUUAAUAACUCAGAGCGGCGAUCUAAAUACUUCUUCAGCAAGAACUUUCGAAGAAGGUAGAGGAACUGAAAUGGAUUCAGCUUCCGCAGGCAGCAUCCCUUUCAACGACGACUCCCCGAGAGACUCGCUUCAAACUUCCGAUUUAGAAAGAAGGUAUCUCAGUCUCUUACCGCGUAGUGGGCUGAUCGUGAGAGAUGGAAUCUUCAACCUCUUAUGGAAAUGUGUCCAGCGGAAGUAUUUACGUAAGAAAUUGAGAACCAGGCGAGAGGAGAGGGGUGAGGAUCGAGCGCAUUCCCUAUCGAUCAGCAUCCUCAACUCUACUUCAAGAGUAGAAAGGUUUCGGAAUUCAGAGGCAAGAGCAUUCCUUCCUCUUUCUUUAGUCAAGUCAUUUCAUUCCUUUUCUCACUAGGUCUAUAGAAAUAGUUCAUGGCCAGGACUAGGUCUCGUCAUAUUCUUUUCUCAAGAGAUGAGAAGAAAGUUCUCCUAAUAGAAUAUGUUUGAAUAUCUCAACUAGAAAGUCUCGGACUAACUCUUCCCAUAGCGUAGCCUACGGAGCGGGGAAAAGGAAGAUUUUCAACAGUCAAGAGAUCAAUCAGAAGGGAGCGGGAAGAAUGGAUAUUGUCUUCGAUCUUGCGAUAAAAUGAGUCAGACCAUAUGCGAUCUCGUCUCAAACAGAGAAUUAGUAAUCUGAGUCGCACGGGGAAUAGGUUGGAUAGUCCGGAGGACGGGAAGACAGAAAGAAAAGAGAGGCUCCGGAGGUUCAAAGAAUAUUGACAAAGAAUAUUUCAUGAAUUGAGGUGCGGUAGUCCGUCCGAAGGACUAUGAAAUCCAUUAGUUUUCGUUUGCACUCCUUUCUUCUUUUCUUAGAUAUUCUGGGAUUGAACUCCGUCUGAAAUCUAGCAGAUUCAUUUUUAGCUUCUUUCAUUCUCGUUAAUGAGCACUUGAACCUGUCUUUCUCAGGCGCAAAAAAUAUUGCGAGAAGAGCAAAGAAGAGAAUGGCGAUCAGAAUUUGAGUCCUUUCAUACUUUCGUUGAGGAGGAGGAGUUUUCUUCUUGUAUCAUAAUAGGAUAUUUUAGUAGAAUAAGAAGAAGAAGAAGAUAAGACUACGUAGCGUAGUGGGCUUUUCUUAUGGCGGAGCGGAGGAUUCCGACUAUCCACUGAAGAAAGUAGGAAAGCCUAAGGAACCUAAAAAGGGCUAAUAGGGGAAGGAAGAAAGCCUAUCCCUCCAGAAUCUUUGAGGACCGAAGGACUUCUUUAUAUCCCUAUUUAUUUAUUUAUGGGACUCCCAGAAAGGUUUAGUUCCAUAAAUCAGUCGGCUAAUAUAUAGGAUGAAAGUAGAUAGAAAGGAAAAGAAAAAAGUCGUCACUCUUAAGGAGUGCAAGAAGGAAUCUUUGAACCUUUUAUCCUGAUCUCUCUCAUUCUACAACUCAGUCGAGCCACUAUUCAACCUUCUUUUCGAUGGGACAUCAUGUCCUCUUAUCUUAAUCCCAUAAAUCAUUUAAGGCGAUACGGAAACAAGAAAUCCAGAAACUUAAUCCGGUAGAGUCAAUUCGAGACUAAGACGAGUUGGGGUUUCGACCAUAGGCUUUCCUUCCAAACCUACUAUACUAAACCUACCCCCGGACUCAAGGCGCGAAGUGAAGCGGCUGCCCACUUUUUAGAAAUAAAGAGCUGAGAUAAUUCUUUUCACUCAUUGAGGUCGGCUAAAUUCAAUGGAUAAAGAAGUCCUUUGCUUCAUUCUAUAUGUCCUUAUCAAUGAGACCAUUAAUCAGUCCGAAGGACUAUCCAAAGAAAAGAAUAUCCCUGUCUUAUGGGGCCUCCGUAGCUUAAUAUGGAGCGCUCCGGACGAGUCUUAACUAAUAUUCCCAAUCAAAGAAUUAUCGAAAGAAUGAUCGACGAGUCUUAUUCCACUAAAAUAGUAGUCCUUCGGAGCAGUCUUAUACUAAUCUCCUAAAAUCAAAGCUCCAGAUGAGUUUCAUUCCACUAAAAGACGAAAGAAGGUAUCUCAGUUACCAAAGAGAAAGAGCUUCCACAAACCACUUCCACAUAAACUUCUGCUAAGUCUACUUCUGUUAUUGAUUCAACUUAGCCUUUAAUCAGAUUAGGACCUAGCUAGCCAACCUUAUUCCUUCCUCUUCCUUACUUUGUUCUCGCUUGCUUCGGCAGGCACACACUAUCUCUGGAUACUGGAUAAGAGAUCCUUUGGUCAAGCUGCAAGAGAAAGACUUCUUCUCCGAUCGAUCAGCUACCCGAUUCCUCCUUCCCCGAUGAUAAGGUUAGCAGGCCCGAUCCUCUCCUAUUGAAAAAGAAAGCAGAAAUCUUUCAGUCUAGAGGAUUUAUCCGUAGCCCGGAGGAUUUAUCCGUAGCCCGGAGGAUUUAUCCGUAGGACCAUCUGUAAUUAACGCGAAGUAGUCUGCAGUCCGGAGUCCGCAGGAUUUAUCCGGAGGACUAUCCAUAUGGAAGUAGGACCAUCCAUAUGGAAGGAAGUAGUCCGCGAGUCCGCAGUCCGCAGGAUUUAUCCGUAGGACUAUCCAUUUUCAGUCGGACUAUCCAUAUGGAAGGGAGCGAAAUCUAGCUAUGAGGACUCUUUGAGCUCUUCUUUGAGUCAGUGGCUCUGCCACUUGCAGAAGGAGCAGCGAAGUCCGCGGUUUCAGAGGUUUAUGUAGCAGUUCUUCUUUAAUAAGAUGCUUACUUUCUUUCGGGUAGAAAGGUUCACUCGUGAACGGUACACCUCUUAUAUGAUGCCUGGGGACUUUGUCCCUUCUUCUACGGAUUUCUCUUAUAUGAUCUUAUUCAUCUCCGUAUCGUUCAUAUAUUCAUUCUAUAAAAUCCCUAGCUGCCACAGAUGGUCGAACUUGCCUCUUAAGUGGCGUGGGUCGAUCCUCUUGUUGACUUUUUACCUAGGAGUGGGGGGGAAGAAGUUCGAGAAUAAUUUAUCUUCUUUCCUUGUCCCAGUUCUUCUUUCCACUUCUACUUAAGUCACCACGACUGAUACAGAUGCAAGAACAUCAGGGCGAGCAGGGAAGAGGCGGAGGGAGUUUGCACUCUUUUCAUGCGGGUUUGAGUGAGACUGAUGCGCCCUAGGUCAAGCCAUUGCUUCGUCUUGUUCAUCACAUUCAUUAUGUUCACAAUUCCGGAAUCAAAGUAGAAAUACGAGAAAGCGCUCCAGCGGACUCUGAUUCAUUGGGAAUUCUAUCUUCCCGCCUCAAUGAACAAGGUGAAAAGAAUAUUAAAUGAAUCAUUGAGUUGAGGCGGUGGAACCUAGGAGUGGGACCGGGAACAUGAUAGGCUUGAAUCUAAGAAGUGAAUAUAGUAUUGAAAGAGGCCCACGGAGCGGUGUCCGACUAUCCUACUAUCGAAGCCUUGAAGCAUGAGUCUUGAGGUUUUCAAAGUCUACUCAGAGGACGAGGUUGAAGUUUCAUAGGGAAAGGUUUCAUAACAAGCAGUUGUUUUCCGUAUCGAAUGCUCUUUCAUUCCUUAUUCGAAAGAAGGCAAAGAAAGUGGAAACUAAAUCCUUGGAUUCUUUCCCGCUUGAACCAUGAAAGGUUAGGCCUUAGUUACGAUCUCAUUCAAUGCCCUAGCAUACUCAAAGGUUCGGGGGCGUAGUGGAUGGAGCUAGAAGACUACUACUUGGACGAGGGAUUUCCUUUCUCUUAUUGUAAUACUCCUAACCACCCCUUUUUGAAUGGGCAGGCCCCUCUGGUCGAGUUUACCCUUUUUAUUCAGGCCUAUCUGCCUCCGUUCAUGAAGGACAAAAUCGGACUGAGCCCUUGUUCAUUGAGGCGUAUAAGCCCACGUAGCGGUGCCAUAAGACAGGUCUGAAGGCGUCACAGGUCCGGAGGACCCGUCUGUCCGAAGGACGAGAUAUUUAUAAUGUUGAGAGAAAGAUUAGACUUUGUCAGGACCCUUAUUUCCAUUAUUUUUCACUUUCAAUAUUCUUGAGAAUAUUCAUUCAUCCGACAGAGCAAAGUUCAUCCAGAUCCCCAUAUGAAUUAGGCGAAUGACUGAUUUUCAAAGUCAGAGUUAUCCCUCAAAUUCUUUGAGCCUUUGCACUCAAAUUCUCUAAUGGAUAGUCCUUCAGACCGCUAGGAGUAAAGAAUAUUGUGUGGAACUGAACUAAUAGGGAAAAGCAUUUCCUAUUGAUUUGUCCCCUGGACUGGACCUAUUCUGAUUCUGAAUUAUCCGUCGCUACGUUGUUCCCAAGGACUAGCAAAAUCGAAAUAGCGAAAUUCUUGGGUCAUCUCAAUGGGUUCAGAAACCACACGUUUCUCUGGAUCAUCACAGCGUACUUCCACAUAUCCACUCAGAGGAAGGUCUUUUUGUAAUGGAUGACCCUCGAAACCAUAAUAUGUUGAUAUACGGCGUAGAUCCGGAUGAUUGAUGGAAGAAACACCAAACAUAUCCCAAACUUCUCGCUCCCACCGGCCGGCUGAUGGAAAUAGACUGACUACCGGAGAGAUUCGUGUUACUUCGUCUGCACUGGUUUGUACACGAAUGCGUGAGUUAUACCGAGUACUCAGUAAAUUAUAGGCCACUUCAAAUCUGAGUUUUCUAUAUAUAUUUAUAUUGAUGUUAAUAUGUUACCUUGUAAUUGGAAUGGUGAUUUGAAUAAUCUAAUAGGAUUAUGUGUUUGGAUCAAAAUAUGUUGCAAGAGAAAUAGCUAAAUGUGUGGAUUUAGUGACAAAGAGGGUAUUCAUGUGUUUAUUUUAGUUUUCUCAGUGAGGACUCGAUUUUUAGAAGAAACGACCACUGUUCGAAUCAUUCAAAACUUUGUUCCGAACAAAAAUUUUGGACUUUGUCAUUGUCCUCUUCACCGAAUGUGACAAACUUGAAGACAACGAUGAAACAUUGAAAGAUUACUUGGAUCGAAAAUGUCUUGUGGGGUUGAAAGAUACCAUAGCCGCUAGCAAGAACUGUUGCUUGGUUUUCAAUAACAAAACCGAUAAUGAAACAAAGAAGAUUGAAUAAGUGGAUAAACUUAUAAAGAUGGUGCAUGAAGUUGUACAACAAAAUGAAGGAAAAGCAUACACUCAUGGCUUGUUUUCUAAUGUCAAGUUUGAGACCAACUUGCAAGAUGAUGUGAAAACCAAGCUUGAACACACAAUUACAGUUCAAAACACAAGCAAAAUUUAAAGCAUAACAAGGAGCACAAGAAGUUCAACAACAAUCUAUGGAUCAAAUUCGAGUCCUCAAAGACCAUCUAUGCAUCAAGACUUGAAAGGUCACUGUCACUACCAAUGCUUCCACAAAUUAUUCGUCAUGGUCGCUGCAUGAGAAAAGGUUGCAUUAUUGUAUGACUUUACUGUGCAUGCAUUCAAUAAAUAUGUACAAGUAAUUAGUAUAAUGAAUAUAUACUAAAUAAAAAUAUGAAAAAACUGUGAAAAAAAACUUAUUUGAUUAACUGCUAUAAAAUUAAUAUUUGAAAAUUGGCAUGUGUUCUCGAAACUAAUAAAAGCAAGUUUGGAAAUGCCUUUAUUUUGUCUUUGUUGAGUGUAGUGUAAAUUGGGAAAUAUAGAAUGCUUAAUUAUGUUGUUAAUUAAUAAGAAAAUUAUUUUAGAAGUUUUGAUGAAUGUCCAACUACAUGUGGAAAGAAUUAUAAAGGAUUGAAAAAUGAUUCUAUAAUCUAGCCCAAACAAGAGGUGGGUUAUUAUAGCUCACUUCACUUCUAUUUAGUUUGGGACCCAAAUAGCCUCUUAAAAUUAGGUUAACUCCAUAACUAAUAAGGGUCUUUAACUCAUAUAGUCUAAAUUGCUAUAUGAUAUUACAUGAAUGAUCCAAAUUACUAAUAAAUUUCAUAAAAGUCCUAAAUGGACUAGUAUAUUACAUAAAUGUAGGCUCAAAUUACUUUAAUACCAAUUUAUAUUAUUUAAUUGAUUUAUAACAAAUAUCUAAAUGAAAAAAACCGUGGGAUAUAGUUUUGGAAAGAAGUGGGGUCCAAAUUAAUUUAAUAUCAACUUCUAUUAUUUAAUUUAAUUGAUUUAUAACAAAUAUCUAAAUGGAAAAAAUGGUGGAACACCGUUUUGGAAAUAAGUGGGGUCCAAAAUAAUUUAAUACAAAUUUUUAUUAUUUAAUUGAUUUAUAACAAAUAUCUAAAUGGAAAAAAUAAAGAGAUACAGUUUUGGAAAGAAGUGGAAAACUUUUCAUGCUUUCCUUCCACGAAAAUGGUUGUCUACUCCUUUCAACGUGGAUUACGAUUUUUACUUCAAAAUUUUAGAGAGUUCGGAGGUGAAGAAGAAGACAGUCGACGACCGACAAAUACAAAACUUCUCGAACAUAAUCUAGUUAAAAACUUUGAAGUUAGUAUUGUAUAUAUUCAACACAUAUGAAACAUUAGAUAUAUUAUGUAUAUUUUAGACAUUCAAUUAAAUAGUCAAUCAAAUGAAAAUGUAGUUUUGAAUGUGAUACAUUUUAGGGUUUAUUGAGAUUUCGGCGGUGAAGAAGAAAACUUUUGAUGGCCAAAAAAUACAAAACUUAUCCGACAGAAUCUAACUAGAAAAUUUGUGCUUAAUAUUAUAUAUAUUCAAAACAAAUGAUUAGAAACAUUUAGUAUAUUAGGUAUAUUUUAAAUAUUCGAUUAAAUAGACAAACAAAUGAAAAUAUAUGAAACAUUUGGUAUAUUAGGUAUAUUUUAAAUAUUUGAUUAAAUAGACAAACAAAUGAAAAAUUAGUUUUGAAUGUGAUACAUUCUAGAGUUUAUUAAGAAUUCAACGUUGAAAAAGAACGGUCAUCCUAUCAAAAAAAUAAUAGAACUAUAUAUAUAAUAUGAGGUAUAUAUAUAUAAAACAUAGAACAUAACUAUUAUAGAUUACGGAUAUAUUAAAGUAUAAUGUAAUCAAAUACAUUUAUAAAGGAAAAAUAUGUAUGUAUGAUCAUGUCGUUUACUACCGUUUUAGUAAUAUUUAUUCUACAAACACAAAUUCUGUAGGAAUUAUGUAUAAGGUAUUAUUGUAUAUAAUAUGAGGUAUAUAUAUACUAAAUAACAUGUAUGAAUUAAGUGUACAUUUUAUUAGUGAAAGGUUCUUAUAUCAAUUUGUUUAUGAUUUUUAUUUAAAUAUUCAUAUAUUAUGUAGUAAGUAAUACGUUAUGUUUGAAAUAAUAUUGAUUAUGUAUUAAAGUUGCCAUUAGACAGUUUUUUAACAAAAUAUACCUAUUAUAUUAAUAUAGAAAAUGGGAGGAAAUCGUGCAACAUUAAAAUAGGAAACUUCUUUACCAUUUUCUCACUUUCCAUAUUCAACGAAAAGCUUGCCAUUUCGACAGUCAAUGACAUAUACAACAUAUUAUAUAAUGCGAUAAUAUUAUAAAACUAGUAUAAUCAUAAAUAAGAUGUGAUAUAUAUUUAAGGGAAAUAUUAAAAAACUGAUAAAUUCAUAAUAGAAUAACGUUAAAAUAAGGAGAAUAUUGUUAAUAUAAUAUAUAUACGCAUAUGAUAUACUCAUAAUGAACUAAUUUUAAAUGGGUAAAAUAACAAAUGACAUAUUUAUGUUAUUCUUCAUAUAAAACAUCAACUAAAAUAAUAAAGUAUUAUAUCUCACGGUUAAUAUAUAAAACUAUUAUAAAUGUAAACAAGAUGUGAUAUAUAUAUAUAAUAAAUCACAUAUACAACCUAUUAUAUCAUGCGAUAAUAUUUAAAACUAGUAUAAUCAUAAAUAGUAUGUGAUAUAUGUUUAAAGGGAAUAUUAAAAAACUGGUAAAAUCAAAAUAGAAUAACAUUAAAAUAAGAGGAAUAUUGUUUAUAUAUACUAUAUCUCAUAUAUAUACUCAGAAUGAACUAAUUUUAAAUGGGCAAAAUAACAAAUGACUGUGGAUUUUAUCUUAUCUUUAGGUGAUGGACAAUUGUAUAUGACGGCGAUUUGUUAAGAUUCUGCAGCUUACGGUUAUGAUAAAUUUGAAUACAAAUUUAUAAAACAAUGUAAUAAGAAGUUCAAAUGAUGGAGAAGAAUAGCAAAAAACAGUUGUCGGCGAUGGAGAAGAUAAUGUAAUGGCUGCCAGAGAGAGUGAACAAUUAGGUUAAGUUAUAUUUUUAGAAAGAAUAAUUAAAUAGUUUAUUACAAAAUAAAGUAAAAUUACAAUUAUUAUAAUAUAUUCUGAUUUAUAAUUAAUUUAAAAGAUACUUGAAAUUUAUUAACAUAUUAAGGUCUUUUGUCUAAAAGUUUCAACUAAUAAUAAUGAUAGUUGUAAAGCCCCAAAGGUAAAAAAAAAAAAUGUAUAUUUUACAUUUUCUUUUUAUAUAUUUUUAUAUAUAUAUUUUAUUUUAUUAAUUUAAAUAAAAAGAAAUGAAAAAGAAAAUCCUUAUUUAUAUAUUUUUUCUUUUCUUUUCUUUUUUUUUCUCUCUUCUUCUUCCUCCGUGCGCCGCGACCCCCACCCGUCCUCUUCUCCUUCCCGUUCGCAUCAAUCGCCGCCCCAUCCGUUCUCUUCUCUUUCGUUCGCAGCAGCCGUCGGCCGCCGCGUCUCCCCUACUGAAGCCGAGCGCCGCGACCAUUCCUUUCUCCUCUUCUCUUCAGUUCGCAAAGCAGCUGUACGCGUCCAAAUCUGUCGUCGUCCAGAUCUGCACCGCAAGACCUUCCGUCGUUGCGACCGUUGCUCUUUCUCCGCUGCCCAGCCGUCUCAGCCGGUUCUGUCUCCGUCGAAGCCACGGUUCUGCAACCGUCUCCGCCGGUUCUGUCUUCGUCGAAGCUAAGGCCCCCGCGUGAACCAGUAACCGCUACGCUCUCCGCUCACAACCGCCGCUCCACUUGCUAUCGACGUCGGUCGACUAGUUGCUGUAACCGUUCAGAUUUGCUGUAACCGUUCAGAUUCGCGGUCUGUUCGCGACGGUCUCCAUCCGUGAAGCCCAGCCGCCACGUUCCCUUUGGCCGACCGCUGACCGACCCACACUUAGGAUUUUGCUGCAAGUUCGACAGUCGUGCGUUGAGGUGUUGGGAGUAACGUUAGGCUCCCUUGCAUUCACAACCAGUUUGUGAGUUGUUGAGGGUUCAGUUCGCCAAUAUAUCGGUGAGUUGGAACUUACGUUGAGGAAAGUAAGUGAGAUAUGUAUCGUGAAAGUAAUUGAAUUUUGUGUUGUUGUGCUUAGGAUUGUUUCGAGGACGUUAGUUGAUUAAGGAGCUUCCCCAACUUUGAGGUAAGGGAUUUUCUACUGGACUCAAUUGUGAUUGUGAACUGUGAUUGUGAACUGCAUGUGUGUUGAAUGUAUACUGUGGGCUAACUGAAAAUAUAUAUGAAUGUAUAUGAAUUGAAGUAGACUUGACGUCAAAUGUAUAUCGUGAUUGUCAUGGAAUCUAUAUAUAAAUGUGUGUGUGUGGACAGGACGGAGAUUGUAGAUUGUGUUUGUAUGAGAUGCAGAUGUGAAUCUUGUGAUUUUCGUUUAGAUUGGGUGUAUGAUUACGCUAAAGUAUGACUGUGUGCUGGUGAACUGAGGGGUGCAUUGACUGUAUAGUGGAUUGACUGUAUAGUGGAUUGACUGAUGUAUUAGCAUAUUAUUGACAGACAUAUGACUGUAGUAAAAUAAGUUGACUGUUAGGAUGUUGAAAGAAAGAACUUUGUGACUUGAAGUAACUGAAAGAUGGGUUGAAUGGAAUGAGGGGAUAAAUUGUUAGAUUGUAUUGGGAUGUUUACCUUGUAGGUGUCCCACGGGAUCACCAAUUUAUUGUGCACCUUCAAGAGCAUUUGACUGAUAUGUGUUUCUGCAGAACACUAGACUGAUAUGUACGUCCCUCGGGGCGUUAGACUGAUAUGUACGUCCCUCGGGGCGUUAAACUGAGAUCUGUAUCCUACGGGAUCACAAGACUGCGAAUGUACAGAGUGUCCCAAUAGAACUUUAACAAUUUACUUUCCCCUGACGAGACCAGUAGAGGGUCUCUUACUGAGUAUUGUUAUACUCACCCUUCUUAUGUUUAAUUUUCAGGCAAAGGUAAUAAAGGCGGCAAACCGGCGAAGGGCAGGAAGGAAGCGUGAUUGACAUAGGAAAUGUGUCAUUUUGCUUCCGCUUAUGGUUUCUUUUGAGGUUUAAGAUGUACUAAAACUUAGUUUACAAACUUUUAUUUGUAAAUAGUGUUAUUUUUAAGUUUUCUUGAACAUUUGAAAAUCAGGCCUGACAUAAAUUGUUUUUAAAUUGACUUACGUUUCAUUUUGUAUCAACCAAAGUCUUUUGUUAAAAAUUAACGACCUCGACUUACCUAGAAAAGUUGGGUCGUUACAAUAGUUCUCAUUAACCAAUUGACAAAUGAAUGAUAUUGUCAAAUGAUCGAUAUUGUCAAAUGAUCGAUAUGUGCAAGUGCACAUUUCAAUUAUAUUAUAGUAAAACGUUCUUAGAGAUCGAGCUAGUAUCCUUUUAAGAGGGAUCAAAUUAACAAAUUAAUUUAUUGAUUUUAGGAUUAGGAUGUGUUUUAAGGAUAAAAACAAUGAUUAGAAACUAAUUAACUACAAGUUGUUGACUUUUGAAAAGAAUAUCUUUCCAUUCAAACAUAAUUGUUCCUAAUCUCUUCCAACUAAGUUAAAUAUUAUGGUAUUAAACAGAUACAUAGUUUGGUUGGUAGUUUCUCUUCAAAAUUAUUAUUUUGAGAAAACAAAUACAAUUUCUUUUUAUGUAAUCCAAUAUCCUCAAGUAUAUUUAUAAAUAUGGAAAUAUUAUUUCCAUAUUAGAAGAGAUACUAAAAGAUCUUAUUACAACAUCAUUAGAGUCCCAUCAUUUUCUCUAAAUAUCUCUUUUGUGGUGAAAGAUUUGGAAUUGCACAUCAAUCAUUUUGGAGUGGGUAAUUGAUCACCCUAUUUUUCAAAAAAUAAGAAAGAUAAAAAAUAGUUAUUUUUUUAAAGAUAUAUUUGAAAGUGUUGAGUUUAUGGAAGGUAUUAGUACUUAUACAACCACGAAACAUUUGAUUUUUGUUAUCUAAAUUAUUUUAAUAAAAAUGUUUUUUUUUUUUUUUGAAGUUUAUGCUUAUUAAAAAUGCUUAUUUAAAAAAUGUUAAUGAAAUUUUAAAAAAUAAAAUCUAAUUAAACACUUCUGAGAUAGAGAGGUUUCCCUUGACUACCCGAGCGUAGAUAAACACUUCUGAGAUUUGGUUGGUAAUCCUAAGUUCGUGUGCAGUUGAUUAUUUUUUAAAUUUUGUAUAGUUGAAUAAUAUUUGAAUUUUAAAUUUUCAUCUAUGUGAUAUUUACUCAUUUCAAACUUUUUGAAUAUGCAUGUUUAUUUAUUAUUCUGUCGUCUCUCUAUUGUAUUUUAAAAUAUAGAAUAUGUGUAUUUAUAUUAUUUGAAAUUGAAAAUUUAACUUUUACUCUUAGAGUAGGCUUUAACUCUUUGUUUGUCCGUGUUGUAGGUGAGCGAGAAGGAAAAGUUCCAUUGUUUGAUUGAAUUGGAAUUGUUUCCUGCAUGGGGUGUCAUACAUAAUUCCACUUAUUACUAGUUGAAGGUCUUCUUUGCCUCUGUCUUCUUCCCCAUCUCCCCAAGUUGUUCUAACCUUUUUAUAUCUACCUAUUACAUGUCAAAAGGUUCGCUCUUCAAUGUUUUGAAACAAGUUCAUUAUGAAAAUCUCUCACAAGCAAACGUAUGUGCAUUAUGAAUAAUUUCAUCUCAAAAAAAUUGUUUGAGAGGUUUCAAAAGUGUAUCGAAACUAAUAAUUUUAAUGAAUAAAAAAAUAAUUCUUCGUUAGAUUCUUACAUUUUAUUUCAACGAACAAAAUUUAGGAAAAUUUUUAAAAAUAGCAAAUUUUACAAAAAUAUUUACAAUUUAUAACAAAUUUAUAGUCAUUGAUAUGAUAUAACGAUAGUUACUAAUAAAUAUUUUAAUUUAUUUUGUUAUUUUUAAAAAUGCUCAUAAAAUAUUAUAGUGAGGGAACAAUGAUGAAUCACAUAGUUCUUGUGGUGAUGUCGCUUUUUCUCCCUCUUUACAUUCUAAAAUCUCAAAUACAAAUCAUAAAACAAGUAGAUAUACAUUCAAUUAGCAUGAUUUUGAUUCUAAUAAAUUAGAAAGACAAAAAUAACUAACUAAUUAUGGAAAAGUAAUAUUUUAACAUGAAUUAUUGAUUUUUAAUUAGAGGUAAUUUUAAAAUAAAUAAAAUAAAAGAAAAUAUUACAAAUCAAAUCUAAACUAACUUUGAUUUUACUUCUUUAAUUGCAAUAUAACAUAGAUACAUUGGCUAUGAAGUGCAAUUUCUUAUAUUAUAAUAUUUAAAAGAUUUAAAUUUAAAAAUAAAAAUAAGUAAUCUCAAGUCCAAUAUUGGACCCGUGGGCUUAGCCCAUCAAUUUAAAAAUUCAAAAUGCACACUCAACCGUCACAUUUUCCUAGGAUCAUCCUAUUUAAUGCCCUUCUACUUGUCAACUCCAUCGAAAUCCUUCAUUUCUUGUGGCACCGUCUAAAAUUUGCUUCGAUUGAAGAAAUUUUGACGCCCAUGACAGCGUUGAAAUUUCUUCAAUGCAAACAAAUUUUUUAUCUUCCUUUCAUCGAGGAUUUUCAUACCAUGUGAAGGAGAGAUCAGUUCCAUCCGUUCCAAGUCGUUCGUGAGUCAUCUUCUUUCCUGUGUAGUUUUCAUCUCUUGAUUUUGGAUUGCUUGUUCAAGAUUUAUUUUCGAAUUUUGGAUUGUUUGCUAUUCGGAUAGGCAGAAGGUUUGCACGAUGAUAGAUCUGGAGUACCUGAAUCGUUUAUUGAUUCUGUAGUUUAAUCUUAUGAUUUUGGUGAUUUCGAAGCGUACAAUAUAAUCGUACUGUGUUAUGAAGUAAAUAAGAUUUUGUAGGGUUUUUGAAAGUUAAUUUAGAUAUUUCCUGCAUUUUAGUCUUGAUAGAUCUGGGGUACCUGAACCGUUCAGGUUUGCAUGCUGUGAUUGUGUUGUUCUUUUUUGAUUUUGGAGAGAGUCCUUGGGUAAUUUUGAGGAUUGUUCUUUUUUUAGUUUUUUUUUGCAUGCAUUCAAACACACGCAUGGUUUUUAAACUGGGGUUCUUGAAUAUUUGUUGGUUUUCUCGAAUAUUUGCCGGUUUUUUUUUCUCAGAAGAAUUGAUCUUAUAUUUGUGUAUCUCUCUGUGCAACUUUAAUAUAAAGUUAUUAAGGAAGAAGAGAAAGGAGGAAGAAGGGAGAGAGAAAAGGUAGAAACGACCUAAUAGUAGGCAUGAGUAUUAAGAUGCAGCAGAGCCACCACUUAGUGGCGCUAAGGUUUAAUGAGCAAAUUGACAGUAGAAAAGGGUCCACAUCCAUACCUAAGUUACUAUUGCUCUGGGUUCUGUUGGUGGCAUUCAUUAGUAUGUUAAACUACAAAGAAAUGGAUGGGUGGGUGUUAACAAAGUUAGAAGAAAGUAAGUUCUGGGAAGUAUGUGUGACCAGACGACAAAGAUGUUUCUUAGUGUCAGUGUCAAACUAUGUCCAGGCUUUGGCCAUUCUCAUUUCCAUUUUCCAGUACUUCAAAAUCGUAUCAGCAAUUGAUCAGGAAAAUGUGUUUCGAUUUCUGUCUUUUAUUAGUCUCGGUUAGUUAGGCUUAAGAGUAAGGGAUAUAAUUCAUUUUUCUUGUUUCAGCUAGAAAUUACGUCGAUGUCUUGAUUUUUAGUUUUUUUAGGGCUGUUUGGUUGUUUUUUUAGGGGUGUUUGGUUAGUUAGGCCUAAGAAGUAAGGGCUAGUGAAAGAGAAGCAUUUGAUUGUCCUACAAGUAUCUGAAUCGCCAAUGAAAGCAGAGGUUAUUUCCUCUGAAUUUCCACGAAUUGUUCAGGUUUGGAUUCUGUGAUUGUGUUGUUCUGUUGUUCUCUUCUUUAUUUUGGAGUGUUCUAGGAAAUUUUGAGGUUUGUUAUUUUUUAGUUUUUUUGGCUUGCCUUUAAUCACGCUCGUUUGGGAAUAGACAGGCUUCAGAGAAUGAAUCUCCUUUUUAAGGGUUCGUUGGGGAGCGAAGUGACCAUAUGGCAUCCCUUUCUGCACCUGCUCAGUCUCUCUCUUGCCUUUUUCAUACUACAUAUUUUUGUUUCUCAAUUUAGUGUCAGUGUCAACCAUGUCUAUGCUUUGGCCAUUCUCAUUUCCACUUUCCACUACUCUAAAAAUGUAUCUGCAAUUGAUCAGGUAAAAGUGUUUCAAUUUUCUGUCUUUGGUUCAUCUCCGUUAGUUAGUCUUAAGAGUAAGGGAGAUAAUUCGUUUUUCUUGUUUCCCUCCAUGUAUUGAUUUUUAGUUUUUUAGGGAUGCUUGGUUGGUUUGAAUGCACGAAACAUUUGCUGGUACACGAUUCAAACAGCUUGCCCAGUCAUGUUUUUCUAUUUUUUUUUAAUAUUUUGGAAUUUUGCAUGUGUGAUUUCUGUAUAUAUUAUUCUUGCCCUUUUCCUUUAUCAUCAUUUAUUUUGAUUUUGGAGAGGUCUCUUGGUUAUUUGUUAUUUGCACAUAUACAAGGGUUGAAAAUUUCAAUCCCACCUCUCUUUUAUAUUACAUUCAUUUAGUUUUGGCUGUUAUCUAAUUGAACUAUUUGAUCAUCAAAUAAUUGUGUUACCUUUUCUUCUAGAUGUUUAGAUUCAUUUUUCUCACUCUUUUAGUUUUCUUAAUGUGUGACAGUCUUUGUUUUUUAUUGAACUAUUGUGUGGCAGUCUUUAUUUAUUGGUUAUCUUUAGUUUCACUAUUGUUCUUUUUUUAAUGUUUUCUUAGUUUUUAAUAAGUGUGACAAAAUAUGAAUUAAUUUUUUUCUUUGAACAAAUGUGGAAUUUAUUUUCUUUUAAUGUAGUUGUGUCCCCAAUAAAUUUAUUUUGGCGAUUUAACAAUCCAUCAUGUUCUUUUUCAUUUUUCUGUUGUAUUUUCUUCGGUUCUUUGUUGUGGUAUGUCUAUUUUUGAGACAUUCUUAAUUUAGUUUUAUUUCUUUUAGCUUCCUGCAUCAUUUUGUAUUAUGGAUUGUUAUGAAAUUUUGAGAUUAUGCUUUAUUUUGUUUUUUGGUCCUUUGCUGUGAUGUCUUUUGAUUAUUUAUUUUGAGUGAACAGUUCAUGUAAGAUUUUCUGCAUGAGAAUAAAUUGAUUAUUUAAUUUGGUCAAAGAAGUUCAAAAUUUACAUGUGAAAUUUACACUCAGUGGCUGUAAGGUUUAAUGAGAAAAUUGGAAGUAGAAAAGAGUCCACAUUAAUUCAUUCAGCCAAGAGGGCUUGGCAUCCUAAGUUUGCUCUGGGUUCUGUUGGUGGCAUUCAUCAAUAUGUUAAUCUAUUAGGGAAUGUAUGGUUAUAACAAAGUAAGAAGAAUGGAAGUUCUGGGGGAGUAUUUGUGACAAGAGGGCAAGGAUGCUUCUGCAUCAAUUUAGUGUUAGUCAAUCAUGUCUAUGCUUUGGCCCUUCUCAUUCCACUUUCCACUACUACAAAAAUGUAUCUGCAAUUGAUCAUGUAAAAGUGUUUCAAUUUUCUGUCUUAGGUUCAUCUCAGUUAGUUAGUCUUAAGAGUAAGGGAGAUAAUUCAUUUUUCUUGUUUCAGCUAGAUGUUACCCUCCAUGUCCUGAUUUUUAAUUUGGCUUCCUAAGUGUGCUCUAGGUUCUGUUGGUGGCAUUCAUCAGUAUGUUAAUCUACAGGUGAAUCUAUAGUUAUAACAUAGUAAGAAGAAUGGAAGUUCUUGGGGAGUCUUUAUGUGUGACGGUCUUUGUUUUUCAUUGAACUAUUGUGUGGCAGUCUUUAUUUAUUGGUUAUCUUUAGUUUCACUAUUGUUCUUUCUUUAAUGUUUUUCUUAGUUUUUAAUAAGUGUGACAAAAUAUGAAAUUAUCUUUUUCUUUGAACAAAUGUGGAAUUUAUUUUUCUUUUAAUGUAGUUGUGUCCCCAAUAAAUUUAUUUUGGCGAUUUAACAAUCCAUAAUGUUGUUUUUCAUUUUUCUGCUGUAUUUUCUUUGGUUCGUUGUUGUGCGAUGUCUAUUUUUGAGACAUUUUUAAUUUAGUUUUAUUUCUUUUAGCUUCCUGCAUCAUAUUGUAUUAUGGAUUUUUUCGAAAAUUUGAGUUUGAUCUUGUUUUCCUGGUCCACUGCUGUGCAGUUUUUUUUUAUGAGAUAUUUUUAUUUAGAUUUAUUAUCUUUUAGCUUGUUUUGCAUUUUGCAUUAUAGAUUAUUUUUUAAAAUUUUGAGGUUGUUUUUUUUCUUUGAUCUUUUGUUGCGGUGACAAUUUUAAUUUAGAUUUAUUAUCUUUUAGCUUGCUUGCAUUAUGGAUUGUUAUGAAAUUUUGAGAUGAUGCUUUAUUUUGUUUUUUGGUCCUUUGCUGUGAUGUCUCUCUAUAAGACAUUUUUAAUUUAGGUUUAAUAACUUUUAGCUAGCUUGCAUUGUGGAUUGUUAUGAAAUUUUGAGUUUCUGCUUUCUUUUGAGUUUUGGUGAUGCCUUUUUACGAGACAUUUUUUAAUUUAGGUUAAUUUUUUAGGUUGCUUGCAUUUAUGGAUUGUUCUGAAAUUUUGACUUUCUGCUUUUGUUUUUUAUGUCAUUUGUUGUGUGAUAUUCUCUUUAUAAGAUAGAGAUAUUUUUAAUUUAGGUUUACUAUUUUUUAGCCUGCUUGCAUUUGGUAUCAUAUAUGAAUUGUUCUGAAUUUUGAGUUUCUACUUUUUCAGUCAUUUUUUUAGGGCUGUUUGGUUGUUUUUUUAGGGGUGUUUUGGUUAGUUAGGCUUAAGAAGCAAGGGCUAGUGAAAGAGAAGCAUUUGAUUGUCCUACAAGUAAUAAGCUUCUCCUCAAUCAUUCAACCAUUUUUUUAGUAAAGAAAGAGGCUUCUCCUCUGGCAACCAAAGUCCGUCCCUCGUUAACAGGUAAGUCUACCUCAUUACUUUUUAUGUCCUUUUAAUUAAGAUAUUUGGGUCAAUAUAUAUCAAAAUAAAUAAGAUCCAUCUUUGGUAAUUUUUAAAAAAAUUAAAUCUAUAAAUACUCAUUUCAUCUCUAAAAUUAUGUGAUUUGUACUUUCUAAAAUUCCCUCGAUGGUACUAAUACACUCUUAUAUUUGUAUUGUAAUUAUCAUGUCCUUUUUCUAUGGUUUUUUAAAGUUAAUUUAGAUCCUUAUUCGCUCUAGGUAUAAGUUGAAUGGAAGAGUUUUUUAGCCUUGAUGGAUCUUGAGUACCUGAAUCGCCGAUGAAACAGAGGUUAUUUUCUCGAAAAUUCCACGAAUUGUUCAGGUUUGGAUUCUGUAAUUCUGUUGUUCUUUUUUGAUUUUGGAGAGUGUCCUGGGUAAUUUUGAGGAUAUUAUUUUUUUGUUUUUUCGGCUUGCAUUUAAUCACGUGCGUUGGGGAAUAGACAGGCUUCGGAGAAUGAAUCACCUUUUUAAGGUUUCGCUGGGGAGCGAAUUGGCCAUAAGGCAUCCCUUUCUGUUCAGUCUCUCUCUUGCCUUUUUCAUACUAUAUGGUUGUUUGAUCUGGGGUUAUUGAAUGAUUGUUGCUUUUAUUUUCAUAAGAAGUGAUCUUAUAUUUUUGUCUCUCUGUGCAACUUUAAUUUGAGGUUAUUAAGGAAGGAGAUAAAGGAGGAAGAAGGGACGGAGAAAAGGAAGAAAUGACUGGAUUGUUGGGAUGGGUAUGAAGAUGCAGUAGAGCCACCACCUAGGUAAGGUCUAAUGGGCAAAUUGAAAGUAAAAAAGAGUGCACAUCCAUUCAAGCUAAGAGAGCUUGGGUUCCUAAAUUACUACUGCUCUAGGUUCUGUUGGUGGCAUUGAUUGGUAUUGUUAAUCUACAAGGGAAUUGAUGGUGUUAACAAAGUUAGAAGAAAGGAAGUUUUGGGCGUAUGUGUGACCGGAGCACAAAGAUGCUUCUGCAUCAAUUUACUGUCAGUGUUAAACUAUGUCCAUGCUUUGGUUUAUUUUCUAUUUUCUACUUUCCACUCCUCUCGAAAUGUAUCAGCAAUUGUUCAUGUAAAUGUGUUUCGAUUUCUGUUUGAUACUUCUCAGUUAGUUAGGCUUAAAAGUAUGAGAGAUAAUUCAUUUCUCGUCUCAUAUAGAAAUUAUCUUGAUGUCUUGAUUUUUAGGGUUUUUUUCAGCGGUUUUUGGUUUUUUUUUUUUUUUUUUUGGAUUUUGGCUAGUUAGGCUUAGAGGUGCAAGGACUUGUGAAAGAGAAGCAUUUGAUUGACCAACGAGUAAUUAGUUUCUCCUCAAGCAUCCCACCACUUUUCUAUUAAAGAAAUACAGGUACGUCUACGCUAUUACUUUUCAUGUCCUUUUACUUAAGAUAUUUAUAUAAAUAUAUAUAAAAAUAAAUAAGAUCCAUCUUUGGUAAUUUUUUUUAAAAUCAAAUCUGUGAAUAUUCAUUUCAUCUCUAAAGUUUUGCGUUUUGUUACUUUUUAAAAUUCCCUCCAUGUUACUAUUACACUCCUAUAUUUGUGUUGUAAUUAUGAUGUCCUUUUUCUAUGGUCUGUUAAAGUUAAUUUAAAUCCUUUUUUGCUCUUGGUUUAUGUUGAAGAAAUGGAAGAGUUUUUUAGCCUUAAUAGAUCUGGAGUACCUUAAUCGCUCUUGCAUUUUGUGAUUCUGUUCUUUUUCUAUUUUGAAGAGUGUCCUGAGUAAUUUUUAGGAUUUUUAUUUUAUAGUUUUUGUCGCUUGCAUUUAAACACGAACUUGGUUGUUGAACUGGGAUUCUUGAAUAAUUGUUGGUUUUGUUUUCUGAAGAAGUGAUCUUAUAUUUGUGUAUCUCUAUGUGCAACUUUAAUAUGGGGUUAUUAAGGAUGGAGAUAAAGGAGGAAGAAUGGAGAGAGAAAAGGCAGAAAUGACUUAAUUGUUGGGAUGAGUAUGACCCCAUGUCUAGUAGUUCCCAAGUAUGAUAUAGGAAGGCAGAGAGUCAAGGCCUUGUCUGACUCUAAUAGAAGUAAGUAGCUAACGCAACGCAAUAUUCUUUGCACCUUCAGUCUGUGAAUCUGAGGAGCAAGAGUUUGGCCAGAGGAGCUAGUCUCGUAACUGCGGGCGCAGUUCUAGUUCUUUACAAGACAGAUGGGAACUGUAGCUAACAAGUGUGCCCUGAGUGGAAUCCUACCACUACUCUUUCUACUAUAUUGGCAGGACGGGUGCCAAGUUAUUAGUAGCUAGGCAGCUAAGCCAGUAGUAGUUCAGUUCAGGUGCUGUUCUCAAACCUAGUUGACUACGUUGUAGCGUAGCGGUACGGGACAGAAAAAGAAUUGAUAGCGGUACACUGAACACAAAGAAAUUUGAUAGACAUAUGUUGAGAGUUCGACAAGUAGCACUGAAUCUACUAUCAGUAGUGAUUUAUAGAAGUUGACUCGCUUAAACGAAGAGAGUGAACAAAGCAUAGCGGAGUGAAGAGAGAAAUGGUUUCAUUAGAUAGCUCUCUCGAUGUCCUUGUUAUCUUUCCUAGGUAGAUUGUGACUUAUUCAUUCUUUCUCGCUGACUCUAGUUUCCCCGCCGUGGAUCCUUUCUCGGUUAGGGCUGUAAUUUAGAAUUCAGAAACGUAUCUGUCUUAUUAUCUUUGAGUCAAAGCAAUGUUACAUAUUUAUAUAGAGAAUAAACUAAACCCUAGAGACUAUGUAAAAUUACAAUAAAGGACAUAUGUGUAUAUAUAUAUAUAUAUCAUAACACUCCCCCUCAAGCUGGAGCAAAUAUGUCGAUCAUGCCCAGCUUGUUGCACAGAUAGCUUAUCCUUGUUCCAUUUAAAGCUUUAGUUAGAAUAUCUCCCAAUUGUUCUCCGGUCUUCACAUAUCCUGUGGACACCAACCCAUCUUGGAUUUUCUCACGAAUGAAGUGACAAUCCACCUCAAUAUGUUUAGUUCGUUCAUGAAAUACUGGAUUAGAUGCAAUAUGAAGUGCAGCUUGAUUAUCACACCAUAAUUUAGCUGGCACGGUAAUACUGAAGCCUAUCUCAGAUAAUAGUUGGUGAAUCCAUACUAUUUCACACACAGAUUGUGCCAUAGCUCUAUAUUCUGACUCAGCACUCGAACGAGAAACAACAUUUUGUUUCUUACUCUUCCAUGAAACUAAGUUUCCACCUACAAAAACACAAUAUCCAGAAGUCGAUCUCCUAUCCUCACGAGACCCCGCCCAAUCAGCAUCAGAAAAACAUUCAACUCUCGUAUGUCCAUGAUCUUUGUAUAGGAUCCCACGUCCAGGAGCAGCUUUUAGAUAACACAAAAUCUGCUCUACUGCAGCCCAAUGAUCCACUGUAGGGGAAGACAUGAAUUGACUUACAACACUUACAGAAUAUGCAAUGUCUGGUCGAGUCACUGUUAAGUAGUUCAACUUCCCAACUAAUCUCCUAUAUCUCUCAGGAUCUUUACAUAAUUCUCCUUCUUUAACAAGUUGCUGAUUUGGCAUCAUUGGAGUGCCACUUGGUUUGGCGCCUAAUUUUCCUGUUUCAGACAACAAAUCAAGUACAUAUUUUCGUUGAGACAAAUAAAUACCUUUCUUGCUUCUCAUCACUUCAAUGCCCAAAAAAUAUUUCAAUUGGCCCAAAUCUUUUGUAUAAAACUGACCCUGAAGGAAAGUUUUGAGAGACGAAAUACCCAAUGCAUCAUUUCCAGUAAUAACAAUAUCAUCAACAUAUACAACUAGUAGAACUAUACCCUUCUCAGAUCGGCGAUAGAAAACUGAAUGAUCAGAUGUACUCUUCUUCAUACCAAAGCAUACAAGGGCUGACUAAACUUACCAAACCACGCACGAGGACUCUGUUUCAAACCAUACAGAGAUUUUCGAAGGCGACAUACUUUAUCACUCUCCCCCUGAGCAACAAACCCUGGUGGUUGUUCCAUAUAAACUUCCUCUUGAAGAUCACCGUGAAGAAAAGCAUUCUUAAUGUCAAGUUGAUGCAACGACCAUUUAUUGGUAGCAGCCAUGGAAAGAAAUAGGCGAAUGGAAGUUAACUUGGCAACCGGAGAGAAUGUAUCUGAAUAAUCAGUGCCAUAGAUUUGAGCAUAACCUUUGGCAACAAGGCGAGCCUUUAAACGAGCCACUGUUCCAUCAGGAUUCAUCUUGACAGCAAACACCCAUUUACAACCAAUGGCCUUCUUUCCUGCAGGACGAGAUACCAAAUCCCAAGUAUCAUUAUCAUCUAAAGCAGUCAUCUCCUCAAUCAUUGCAUUUUGCCAGCGAGGAUGAGACAAAGCUUCAUGAACAGAGUUAGGAAUAGAUGUGGACUCAAGAGACGUAAUAAACGCAUAUGUGGAGGGAGAUAACUGGUGAUAGGAAAUAAAGGAAGAAACGGGGUAAGUACACUUGCGUUUACCUUUGCGAAGAGCAAUGGGAAGAUCAUCACUUGGCGCUGGAUCACAUGAUGAAGGAAGCAUUGAUGGAGGACAUGAGUCUGAAGGUUGUGGUGGAGGUCGUCGGGAGUAGACUUGAGAAAUCAACGGGCGGGAAGGAGGCACAUCAGUAGACAAGGAUGGUGUGGGAGAGGUAACCUCAUAUAUAAAAAGAUUGUCAUCCUCCCCCUGACACAAACUCGAUGGUGAUGAAGUAAAGGGUGUAUCUUCAAAAAAGACAACAUCAGGCGAAACCAGAUACCUUUUAAGGGUAGGACAAUAACAACGAUAACCCUUUUGAACACGUGAAUAACCCAAGAAGAUACACUUCAAGGAUUUGGGAUCUAACUUAGUAUGAUGAGGACGAACGUCACGAACAAAACAGACACAACCAAAUAUCUUAGGAGCAAUAGGAAACAAAUGCUUGGUAGGAAAAAGAACACGAUAGGGAAUCUCACCAUUAAGAACAGAGGAAGACAUUCUAUUAAUCAAAAAACAAGCUGUAGAGACAGCAUCAACCCAAAAGAUUUUUUAAACAUGCAUUUGAAACGAUAAAGCACGGGUAGUUUCAAGUAAAUGCCUAUUUUUCCGCUCUGCAACACCAUUUUGAGAUGGAGUGUCAGCACAGGAAGAUUGAUGAAUAAUGCCAUUUUCACACAAGUAAGAGCCAAGAGAAUGAGAAAAAUAUUCACCCGCAUUAUCAGUACGCAAAGUUUUGAUAGAGACAUUAAAUUGGUUUUUUAUUUCAGUAUGAAAGGCACAAAAAUGAGAUAAUAACUCAGAACGAUUUUUCAUUAAAUAUAACCAAGUUAGACGAGAAUGAUCGUCAACAAAAGUAACAAAAUAACGAAAGCCUGUUUGAGAUACAACUGGACACGGACCCCAAAUAUCAGAAUGAACUAACUCAAAUGGAGCAAUUGCUCGUUUAUCGACUCGAGGACUCGAACUAAGACGAUGAAAUUUCGCAAAUUGACACGAAUCACAAUUUAAAGAGGACAAAGACCUAAAUUCUGGAUAAAGUUUCUUCAACACGAACAAAGAUGGAUGACCUAAACGACAAUGGACUUCAAAAGGAGAGGGAACGACAGGACACGCCACAGCUUGCGAUACUUGAUGAUCAAAGAGAUAAAGGCCUCCUGACUCAUAUCCUCUACCAAUAAUCUUCUUCGUCACACGAUCCUGAAACAAGCAAUAACCAGAAAAGAACAUGACAACACAAUUUAGGUAGGUCAUGAGUAAGUUGACUAGUAGAAAUUAAAUUAAAGGAUAAGUUAGGCAAAUGUAACACAGAAGAGAGUGAAAAUGAUGGGGUAAGGUGAAUAGUGCCAGAGCCAAGAACAGAAGAUGUGGAGCCAUCGGCCAAUGUAACCGAUGGAAAAGGGGCAGGGGACAACGGUCUAGAAAAUAGGUGAGAAUUACCUGUCAUAUGAGCUGUGGCACCAGAGUCUAUGACCCAUUUGGUAGAUGAUGUAAGAAGACACUUUAUAUUACCUGGGGCAACAGUGGAUGCAAUCAGAGUAGAGGAAGAUGACGCUUGUAAUGACUCUUGGUAAUUCUGAAACUUAGCAAACUCAUCUGCCGAAAUAGUAACUGACGCCUCUGGUAUAUCACAUGUGGAGGCUAUCUGAGCAUGUUGAGAUCGUUGACUAUUCUUAUAUAGCAAUUUCUGACAAUCACGUUUCAUAUGGCCUGGCUUACGACAGUAGUUACAAACAAUCUCUACAGACUCUGGUUUUCGAUGAUCAGUACUAUUCCUCUGAGGUGCCCGAGGGUUAUUGUUAUUGUUCUUGCUAAAGAGAGCACUACUGGGUUGAGGAAUAGACACACUAGUCGGAGAGCUUUCAAUGCGAAGGACUCGAGUGAAGGCAUCAUCUAAUGAUGGAAUCUUGGAGUCAGAGAGAAUCUGUGUCUUUGCCAUUCCAAAUUCAGGUAAGAGUCCAUUCAGGAAAAUCAUAACAGCCAUCUUCUCUCGUUGAACUUGUUGAACUUUAACAUCAGGACUAAAAGGUAACAACAAGCCAAGCUCGACAAUGAUCUUCUUAAGCCGCAUAAAGUAGCUGGUGACAGACUCAGCUUUCUGUUCCGCACGAGAAAAUUGCAUACAAACUUCAAACAUUCUAUGCACUUGCUCUUUACCUGAGUAUAGAAAAUCCAAAAAUUCCAAAAGUUCUUUAACAGACUCACAGUGAUCAACCAAUCCAAUUAUCUCACUCUCAAUUGAAUUCUUGAUCUGAAGAUAUAAACGGGCAUCAUCACGAAGCCAAUCCUUCUUCUGCUUUGCAUCUUUUGGGAGAUCGAGUUUCAAACCUUUAUACACAAAAUUGAAACUCAAAAUUCACUUCCUUCCUUCCGCAAGGCCGAUAUCUUUCAUAGCAAGCAAGGAUGAGUCCAUUAGGUUCUUCGAUUGAUUCGGAAAAGAAAUGAGAGACAAGAAAAGAUCUUUGAUGGAGAUGAAAAGGAAGAAUCUCAAAUAGACCAAGAUCCAAUUUCGGGUCAUUUCUUGGUGAACAUGAUCUGCCAUAAUCUCUUCGAUCCCUGAAUUUAUGUGCCAGAAUAAAGAGAGAUUUGGUAGGAAAGUGGAAGAGACCUUGUGGUAUAUAAUAAUGAGAGGGAGUGGGAAAGCUGCUGUAAUUCUUUGGAAAAGCCCGGUUCUUUUUGUCUUCGAGCUUGAAUUCCUCAAUCCACUCUUUCGUUCUUUCAUAUACCUCCCCACCAAUAGAUAGAGACAAAUAGGAAUAACCGAACCACGUCUACAAAAUGCCAGUACCAUGCAGCUGCUUCAAAGCCAAUGUGAUGCUCCUUGGUCGGAUGACCUAGAUAUUGGCGAAUACCACAUACGAUCAAGAAAAGAGUACCUAUAAUCACAUGAAAACCAUGAAAGCCAGUUGCUAAGAAAAAGGUAGAACCAUAAAUACUAUCCGAAAUAGUGAAGGGUGCUUGAUAAUAUUCCAUUCCUUGAAAGCCUGUGAAUACUAGAGCCAGUGAAACGGUAGCUACUAAAGCGUAAACAGCUCGUUUUUCCUUCCCCGCGAGUAUAGCAUGAUGAGCCCAAGUUACGGCUGCUCCGGAUGAAAGGUGAAUAGGGGUGUUAAGAAAAGGGAUUUCCCGAGGAUCUAAAACCCCAAUCCCUUUUGGGGGCCAAAUAUCUCUGAUCUCUACCGUAGGUGCCAAAGAAGAAUGAGAAGAAGCCCGAAAGAAGCAAAAAGGAACAUAACCUUCGAUACGAUAAAGAGAAUAAAACCAUAUCGAAGUCCUAUUUUUACGACUUUGGUAUGAUGUCCUUCCAACGUGGAUUCACGUAGAACAUCGCGCCACCAUACGAACAUGGUAUAUAGGAGAAAUAUGAGGCCCAAACUGAGAAGUCUUGCACCCCCUUGAAAUGAGUGCAUGUACAUCACACCUCCUACGGUGGUUGCCAAAUGAUAAGAAUGCCUCUGAGAUUCAAUCAUAAACCACUUUGCCUCGGUUGUAUGUAAACCCCCCCUUCACCCCCACCCGCUAAAGUGGUAAAGAAGGGCUCUUUGGGGUCUCAUUUUCUUUCUAUCUGACAGGACUCAAAAAUAGGAAGGGAUGGUUCUUUCAUUGCAUUGAUAGAAGUCUAACUAGAAAAAGAUCUCGUUGCUUUGACCGAGCCCUAGGCUUUCCUUGGAUAGAGCCCUCUAUAUUCCGACUGAUUUAUGGCGUAGAAGGCGGGAAUAGGAAUCACUCAUAUUGCAUUGAGCCUUAACAGUCCGGAGGACUAUCCCGCUCCGUGGGAUUCUUUGAGCCUCACAAUAUUCUUUGCACCUAUCCAUCCACGGCAAUAUUCUUUGCACCUUCGCUCCAAAUAAAGUAAUAGCCGCAACUCAAUUCAUUUCAGCCUUCGCCUAGAAAUUCACUUUGCGACCCACUCUGUAAGCCCACUACACGAGAAGAAAGAAUAUCCUUAGCUAUUUAUCUUUAUUAUCUCUUCUCUGAGAAUAUCCUCUUAUUCUACUAUUAGAAGAAUAUCCUACUUUCAGUUUCUAGUCAAAGAAAGGUCCAGGCGCAGGCGCAAAGAAUAUUGCGAG
Molecule: long non-coding RNA, 86646 nt
Filed under: Cucumis sativus (cucumber)
Lineage: Eukaryota; Viridiplantae; Streptophyta; Magnoliopsida; Cucurbitales; Cucurbitaceae
Description: long non-coding RNA (CSAT_LNC001903)
Source: RNAcentral